AUCGGAGCAUGGCCGGACGGAGGCCAAAGCCUGAAGGGCCUCUCAUCUCUCCUCUUUCAGAGGAUUUUAAAGUUUUUUUUAAAACGGUCUCUAAAAUGAUUUUUUGAAAAAAAAUUGAUUUAUAUAAAGCAAUAGAUACGGUGUCGUUUUGCUUAAGUCCAAUAAACACUGAAACGGCACCGUUGAGGCCAAGAUCCGCGCAUUGACCCGUGACCCGAGGAGGAUCCGCGUGUUUUUGUAAAAUGGGCUAAUUUCCCAAUCAGUCCUUCUGCAUUUUUAAUUUUUAUAAUUUUAUUUUGUUUUCAAUUUAAUUCAGCCCUAAUUUUUUAUAAUUGUUUCGAUUUAGUCCCGAUGGCUAUUAAACUCAUUCUUAGGAACGACGUCGUUUUGGGAUAAGGGUUAAUUGCCCGAUGAGUCCCUCGAUUCUAAUGCGUUUUUUCAAAUAGGCCUAAAUUUUUUUUAUAUUUUUUUAAAUUAGCCCAAAAUUUUAACUGCUUUUAAUUUUAGUCCCAUUAUACUUAUAAACUUAUUUAUUUUAAGCUUUAUUAUUUAUUUGAUGUAUAUUAUUAUUUUAUAUUUUAUAUUAUUAUUAAACAUACUGGAAAUCCAUUUAUUUUAUUAAAUUAUAUAUUAUGGCAUACAUAUUAUUUAUAUUUUAUUAAUAAAUUUUUUUUAUAUAUGUAUUAUAAAUAUAAUAAAAUUAUUUUAUUAUGUAUUAUUAUAUUAUUUUAUAUGGUAUAUAUAUUAUUUAUAUUUUAUUAAUUAAGUAUUUUUUAAAAAAAUGAUAAUUAUAUAUAAAUAAUCAAAUUUUUUUAUGUUAUUAUAUUAUUAUAUGUUUCCUAUAAAUUUUAUAUACAUUAUAUUAUUCUAUUUUAUAUUUUAUCGUACAUUUAUAUUCUAAUACAUAUCAUCAUAUAUAGUUUUAAAAUUUUAUAAAUAAUUAUUAAACAUUAUUUUUAUAUAUUAUUACAUAUUUAAAAGUCAUUUAUUACUACAUUAUUUUAUUAUUUUUAUAUUUUAUGUGUUAUUUUAUUAAUAAGUAUUAUACUAUUUUUAUUAUUUGUUUUCAUAUCAUUUUGUUACUUAUUAUAUUUAUUUCUUAUAAUAUUUUUAAAUUGUAUACUGUAUACAUUUUAUUAUAUAUUUUUAUAUUAUUUAUUAUAUGAUUUAUAUUAUUUAAUUUAUAUUAUAUUUUACCAUAUUUCCUUAUUACCUUUAUUUUAUCAUAAAGUAUACAUUUUUACUUAUUAAUUAUAUACAUGUUCUUAAAGAAUAGCAACAUCUAGUACACUAUUUUUCUUAUAUACUAAGUUAUUAUAUCUAAUAAUAUAAUCUAUAUAUGUAUAUAUUCUUUUAAAAAGGUUCUCUUUUAUUGUUCUUACAUCGUUUAAUAUAUUUCUAAAUAGCUUACUUUUAUAUUUCAUACAUUUAAUUUGCUUAUUUAUUUUUAAAUUCUCUUUUAUUUUGAUAUAGUUUAAUAGGUUAAAUUUUACAUAUCAUUUUAUUCUUGUAUCUAUAUAUUCGCGUAAAAUUAGUUAUUUAUGAUUAUUUAGGUAUAUAUAUUUGCAUAAAAUGUUGUUAUAUAUAUGUUAUACUAUUAAAAUUAUUAUGCUCUAUGUUGUAUUGUACAUGUAAUACUAAUGCAUCAAUAUUUAUGUUAUUUAAGAUAUAUGCCAAGAGAUAAAUGGUGUAAUUUAUGCCAUUAUUUUAAGACAUUAUACUAUAUUUGCACGAAAUGAUAAAGCAUGUACAUUGUAAUUAGAUUUAUUUAGCUCUUUGUAAUAUGCAAAACACAUCAUUAUUUUUAAAACCAAAGUUAUAUCUCACUUAAUUCAAAAAAUGAAUUUUAAAAGUGAGGCAAUGUUUUGAUAUUUUAGAGAUCCGGGAAAUAGUGCCCUAACAUGCUGGGUUGCGAUUUCUUGUUUGUCUAAAUAUCUAAAAUAUCCUUUUAAACAAAUUUUAUAAAUCACGAGAUGAUUUCAGUUAUGAGAGUUUAAGAACAUCGUGUCCUAUCAUGUUGGAUGUGAUGUUUGUAUUCUUUUGGAGCUAAGGAAUCUCGAUUUUUCAACUUAAAUAAUUCCGGUUUUUAAAAAAGGAAUCUUAUUUUUAAAUCCUUUCAAAUUUUUGACAUUAAGACAGAAAUCUAUUCAAUUUGGUACCAAUUGUGGGCGUUGCGAGGGUGCGAAUCCUUCCUCGUACGUAACCGACUCCUGAACCUGUUUUCUUAACUUUCGUAGACAAAAACGUUUUAUAAGGUGAUCCAAUCACACCUAAAAAGGUUGGCGGCGACUCCCGUUUUUGUUUUUCAAAAGUCGAUCCCCGUUUUUCAAACAUCCCUUUAAAAAAUGGUUUCGACACUUAUAUGUUACAAAUAUAUGUAUAUAGAAACAUUGGUUAUAUUGAAAUUUGAAAUGAAACCCUAUUAAUUGUUCGGGCUAAGUCAAAUAUAGAUGGCAUGCCAUAGGAUAGGAAGAGUUCAAGGAUUUCUUCGACUUGGAGUCGAUGAAGCACUGGGAGCUAAUUUGAUUCGGUUUAACCGAUGAGACAUUAGAUGUCAAUUUAUAUAGCACUGAGCGUAGUUAUUACUUCGGAUUUAUCUUAUGAGGCACUAGGUGCCAAACUGGUGUGUUGGUUGGAUUCGUGUAUCCGUCCGAGCCUGAGUCGUGUUAAUAAAUUUAUAUGUUCGAUGUUGAGAUGAAAAAGAUGAGAAAUGAAAUAUGAAAUGAUGAAAUGAUAUGUGAAUUGUGAAUUGUGAAAUGAAAUCAAGUAUUGAUCAAAGAGUUGGAUCAUUGCCUGAGUUGAGAUUAACAAAUGUUAUAUGAAAUGUCAUUGAUAUGUGCUUGAGCAUGUGGAAUUUAGUGGAUGUAAUAAAGAAUGAGUAAAUUUGUAUUAUUGAUUUGAAUCAUAACUGCAUGACAUUUCUUGUUGCAUUCUCACAUUUUGAUUACUUAUAUCAGGUUAAAUUGUUCGAGUUAUAGAAAUACCAUUGGGUUUUACUCAGCAUGUGGUUUUGUUUUUUCAUGCGCAGGUUAUGUACUUUUCAAAUUAUCGUCGGCUCAGAAUCCAACCUUAAUUGCUCAAGUGUGGUGAUAUUUUAUUUUUGUAAUGGCAUGUACCUAGGAAGUCAUUUGUUUGAUGUUGUUGAUAUUUGAUAAUAUUUUUGUUUUUAAGUGGAAUGAUGGUCAUUUGUAUAUGUGGUGGUGAUUGAAGUUGUGUUUUGGUAUGUUUCAUAGUUUAAUAUGUUGGUAUGUCUUUCAGCUUAAAGCUUGAUAGCCUAAGUAGCUAAAAGUUAGCUUUAUAUUGGUAAAUUUGGUAUGAAUGAUAGUUUUGAAUGGUUGAUGUCUUGUUGAUUUGUUUGAAUAUACAAAAUGUGGUCCCAAUGAGGGUAAAUUGGUUAGGCACUUAAGUUGGUUGUUUUGGUAUGAAUUGAGCAUGUUUAAUUGUGUUUUGAUUAGGUUAAAUGGCUGGUGAAAUGGUAGCUUAAUGCCCAAGUAAUCACAAUUAGGUGAACUUGAGUUUUAAGGUACAUUUAGGUACACACGGCCUGGGUCCUGUAAACUCGUAUUUAAGACUGUAUGGGUAAUUUUUACUGUGAUUUUGAAUGAAAUAGCUUGCAUUUUAAUUAUGAUUGAAUAAUUGAUUGAUUUUUUAGUAAUGCCCGUAACCCUUAUUCGACAACGGAGAGGGCUUAGGGGUGUUAUAAUUAUGGUGUCCCUCAUUAUGAGAGCGACGACUUAUCCACUUAGGAUUUUGAUAAAUUUAACACUGUUGAUAUGGAUGCCAUAUUAGCAUAGUUAACCGAGGGAUGAGGAGAGUGGAAGUGUGAGGGUAUAAGAAUCACCCUUUAUCCUUUAAAUAAGCCAUUAUGUUUCCUGGUGUAAAACUGUGGAUGUAAUUUAUUUGCACGUGUAUUAGCCUUUUCUUGACCACUAACACUAUUAAUGUAUUUCGAGCAGCUAUUUUAUAUUGCAUUUUGCAGGAAAAGCGAGGGUGUUCAGGUAUAAAGGUUGGUAUCAAUUUCCCCCACCUAAUCAUAAACUUGUGUCGUCGAACGAGGGUGGAAAUGAAUCCAACAAAGCAAUUCCACCACCCCACUCAGAUUAUCAUCGGAUACUCUAUGUUUAGGCAACUUCAGGAGCUCUAGUGGAAAGAUUGAUGAUGAGCCUACACAGUGGGAACGUAGGCUAGGUAGAGAUGUGCGCUACAACAUGAGACUGCUAGAGGCCAUGAAACCAUUCAUGGAUAGCUUCAUGGCGAUCUAGGGGCAUAGAGCAUAUAAUGGCCCAAAAGAUCGAGCAAUUCAUCUGAGGUGAUGGGGGAUGAUUGGAAGACAAUGAUAAGGUGACAGAGGAUGAUGACUUCACGCCAUAUCAUGAAAAUUUUAAGGGUGUUUUCGCAUCAACGCAACCAUCUAAGGGGAGUCGUUAUCUGUGAACCCAAUAACCGACCCGUGAUGUUUUACAAAAGGUUGAUUGCGAGGCGCAAAGGCAAGGGAAUUGCAGAUCGUGUAAGGGUCCCGAAGAUGUUCAGCAAUGUUACAUGCUUUCGUAAUUUUUAUUUUUAUUUACUUGUGCAGUAUGUAAACUAUUUGAACUACAUUGCUUUUGGACUUUUUUUUUGUUCUUAUCUUUUGUAGUUUGUUUGGUUGUUUUUGCUUUUCUGUGUGUUUGUUCUAUAUGCAGCGAAUUACCUUGAAAGGCUAACUACAUUCGUGAGCUUCAACGAUGAGGUAAACCCCCGAGCUAGUUUGACACUCCAUUCUAGGGAAGUCCGAUAACCUCCAAUCUAUUUUAGGAACACAUUGAGGACAACGUUUAGUCUAAGUGUUUGUAUGUGGGGGUGCACAUAGUUUCAUGUGUUUUUUUUCUUGCUUUUUAUGUUAUUUUAUGUGUUUAUCUUUAAUUUUUUUCCUUUUAAAAUUUUUUUUCAAAAAUUCCAAAACAAAAAUUCAUUUUUAUUUUGUGUAAUUGCAUGGUGCUUGGGCAAUAAUUAAGUAAUAAGUAAGUAGUUGUACAUAUUGAAUAGGUAUAUAGAAUUGCCAAAAUUGUAAAUUUUGAACGAUACUAGAUAAUUUACUAUUCUUAAUUAUAGACUAAUUAGUUCAAUUAGUCAAUGUGUUUAAUAGACUAGAGGCAAUAACCUAAAUAAAAAUGUAUAAAGUGUACCAUAGGAUGAAUGAAAUUUACGGAUCCUUAUAGAUAAAUAAUUUGAAUUGUUAAUUGUACAUUUAAACAGAGGUAUGCUUUAAAGAAUUGGUGUCAGAUGAUUGAUUCGGGAAAGACCCUAGGCAUUGUUUGAAGUAGCCUAGAGCUUAAAAGCUUACAUGUUGCUAUAUACCCUUAGUUCUCCUAUAUUUGAGCCUUGAUCACCCUUUUCUUGUAAGCCUUAAUAUCAAAGCCUCAAACUUAAACAGGUUUAGCACUCAAUCCUUCUCAAUCACGUUCUUUAAAAUGCACUAUGUAAUAGACGUCGAACCAUGGACAUUGAGGGCUAGGUAGAUACAUCAUUGUGGCUUUGUGUGAGAAAAAGAAAAUGAAGAGAUUACGCAAAUUAGUACAUUUUAAAAAAAAAGGGUGAACAAAAGAGUGCAAAAAGAAAAAGAGAGCUAAAUCAAAAUUAAGCUCAAAAAUGAAAAUCUUUUUAUUCACAAUUACAAAGUUUUGUAUGUACUAAUCUCGUGUAAUACCUUCUAACAUUUUGGGAGAAAGAAGAUAGGUGAGGGAAGGAGAAAUAAGGAAGUGAGGUCAUGAAUAAAUUGGGGGCGAGUAGGGAACAAUGUCCUGUGCUUAACCAUUUCUAGUGCUUGAACCCAUUUUUGAGUGCUCAUUGUUAGAAUUCUAAAUUGUCCUAAGCCUCAAAAUGUUACAAGCCUAGAAGACCUUUAGGACCCGACUAAGUCACCAACAUAAUAAUUCAUGAAUAGCUUGCAUUUGUUUGAACAAAUAUGACCAAUUCUUUUUAAAUAUCUGUGAGUGAUCCGCAUAAUUUAUUUUGAUGGAUAAUAGUUGCGCAUAUGUUCUUUCCCAUUGCCUUUAUAUCUAUUGAUAUUUUAACUUAGUGAACUAACUAUGUCUGCAUUAGGAAUAAACAAGUUAGCUGGAUAUCACUCUUAAUUUGCAUGUGAGGUCGUUUUUGUACGAGUUCAAUGUUCUACCGCUAUAUGAAUUAAUUGUUUGAUUUAUCCUAGAGUCGUCUUUUCUUUUGCAUGUUUGGUGUAUUUGCUUGAGGAAAAGCAAAGAGUUAAGUGUGUAGGGAGUUUGAUCUACCGUAAUUUGAUAUGGCAAAUUAAGCUUUCCCGGUAUAUUUAAGGAGCUUAUUAUCAAGCAAAGUAGUAUUUUUUUAGUAGUUUUCUUUUGUAAUUUUUGGAUUUUAAGUUAAUAAUUGUAAAUUCCUUGUUUUUACUCAUUUUGUGAUCCAAUUUAUCCGAUAGUGUCAUUGAGGGACCUAACUUGUGGAUGAGUGGUGUGGGGACAUGUUGGAGGUUGAAAACAACUGAAAUUGACACUAAAGGAAAGGGUAUCGUGAUAUCCAAAUCUUGGAAUCGCAAUACCUCUAGUAGACUUGAAGAUUUUGAGACACCCUUUAGUGGUAUCGCAAUAUCCAUCCUCCAAGAAGAGCCCCAAGUUCAAAACUAAUCAGGGUAUCAUGAUAUCCUCUUUUGGGUAUCACGAUAUCAAUGUGGUGAGGGGAAAAAGUUAGACAAAAAGGGUAAUUUUUGUCCACCCGAUGCACCAAUCACAAAUGGCCCAUGUAGGGGCAAUUUUGGUAACAAAAUUUGAUUAAACAUCAAUCUAAAACAACCAAUUCUGGCUAAGGAGAGAGGAGACACAUUAGUUUGGUUUUUAGCCUUAGUUUCUUUAGGUUUUCUUUUAGUCUUUCUUCUUCUUUUCCUAAGGUUUCUUGUUUUCAUUUCCUUAGCAGUAGAUUUUACAUUUCCUAGUAACUUUUCUUCUUAUUUUAGUUAUUCAUAGUGGUAUUUAAGUUAGUUAUCACUGUAGCUUAGGUUUAUUUGCACUUUUAGUCCUUGUAUAUUGGUUAUAAGACAUUUUCAGAUUUAGUUUAAUGUAUUUCAGCCUUUGUUACUUUAAAUCCUUCAAAGUUUAUUCAUUUUAGGUUUAUAACUUUAGAUUUUCUUGCUAAAUGCUUUUCAUUUCAUGUUCUUUAAGGUUUCUUGCAAAAAAAUAUUAACUUUCAUAUGUUUUUAAGCUUUACUUUCAUAGCUUCUAUGUUUUCAUUUCCAUUGUUGUUAGUUGUAUUUUCAAUAUGAGUAGUUAAACCUUUAAGGCGGUCAGUUGAUGGAGAUAUGAUGAGCUAAUUUUUGGAUGAAGGACCAAAUCAUAAUAAAUUGAAUUAAUUUGAAUGAACCUAAAAACCUAGGAUUGACAUCCCUAAGGGAAAAUCUAAACAAGUGAGACUGAGAGGUAAUCUUGUUGCACAACAAUUUGUUAGUCCCAUAUUACUCGGUGAGAUCUAGAGAUAAACUAAACUAAUUUGUCUAAUUUGAUAUAAUUGGGAUCGAGAGAUAAAAUUGAGUCAGUUUAGUAAAUCAAGCGAUUGGAGCCCCUCAUUUGAAAAUUGGUAACCCACAUCAAAGUCAACCGACCACCGUUAGUCAUUUCUUGGUCAAUUUCAUAGUUUUGUAAUAUUUACAAUUUAUUCCCUAGAGUAACGUAUUUUAUUUUCUUACAACAUUUUCUUGGUAUGAUUUGUUGUAUUAAAAUCGUACCAGUAGCCACCUAGACUCUAGAGUGCGUGCUAAUUAUUACUCAACAGCCAUCUCUUUUGGGUUCGACCCUUUAGAAUACUUCGUGUUCCAUCAAAACUAUAAAUAUUACAACUAACACUGUCCACCUACAUUUAAGGCCCACAUUCCAAAAUAGUUUUCAAAAUCAUUAGUUUCAAUUCGCAUGAAUGCGACUAGUCAUCAUUUCCUCAAUAUGACCAGGUAGGAUGCCUUGAAUAGUGCAAGGAACUCCUUUAGAAGAAAUCUGCAUGGUCAUUGACCCAAAAUUCCAGUUUUUCGAUGAGAGAAGCCAUUGUAUGCCUGGAUUUGCAUCACACCCCUUUAAAGUUAAAACCAUUAAGUCAAUAGUAAAAUUGGCUCCUUGAACCUGCAACUCCGCCUCCUUGCAAGUACCGCUGGUAAACAAGUUUCUUCUAUCAACUAUUAUAACCCUCAAUUGCUCUUGCUGCCAAACUGGUAAAUUUAACAUAGCAACCAACCUUAUGUCCAUGAAGUUACGAGUACUUCCAGAGUCUACUAGAAAAAUGGCCUUAAUUGUCCCUAUGUGAGCCUCAAAUCGCAUAGUAUGAUAACUCUAUGAGCCCUUGAUAGCAUGCAAAGACAUCGCAGGCAUCUAAAAUUGGUCCCUAUCACUAGAAGGAUCUUCUAACUGAUCUGAGCAUUCCUAAAACUCCACAUCAAUAGAAGACUCCAACAACAUCUGAUACAACUAGCUCUGGACACACUUGUGUCCAUUGUGGUAUUUAGUUCCACACCAAAAGAAGAGCCCCCUUUUGUUUCCUUCCAACCAUCAAAGUAGGGAUAAACCCUUUAGAAAGGCCCUUUAACCCUUCAGAUGUAGAAUGAGUGGAUAGGACAAAUGAAGUAGAUUAGACGAAACUAGUUGGUCUAUUAGAGACAGAAGAAAAUGGCAUAGGUGUUUCGACUUUCCUGGCAAUAUGGAAACUGUCUACCAACGUUUGAGGUCUAAAGAGUUGAAGAUAUUGACUAAUUUCCAAUUUCAGAUUACUAACAAAUAUAUUGAAGGCAUAAGACUCAAGCUUUCAAAAGACUUACAAACUGGUCAUGGUAGUGCUCCUUAGAUUCUUGUCGCUUCAGUGUCACCAACUCCACCUUAGGAUCCUUGAAGAUGCUCAACUCAAAUCCCUCUUAAACUGUAAGCAUAACAUGUCCAAUGUAGCAAAUGGAGACCACCAUGCUUCUAGGCAUAGAAAUGGUGCCAAUCGAAUGCCCAACCCUCCAGAUGUAACAUCAUUGUGCACACUUUAUCACAAUCAAGCACUCCUUCAGCAAUGAAAAUAUUGUUCAAGCUUCACCCAUCAGCCCUUGAAAUCCGUACUUAUAACAACCUAAUUUCCGGUGGUGUUAAAAACAGUGAUUCAAGAUCACUAAAUCUGACGAGUGAGUUUAAAAUUUUAAUAAAUUAAUAUUUAUUAGUUAAGUGUGAUUUUAAAAGUAUGCUUGAAUCAGUGAAUUUUGUGAUUUAAAAGAAUUUAUUAAGUAAAUUGGGUAGAAAAUGAGUAUUGAGACCUCGAUUUCAUAAAUCGAGUCGAAAAUAUUUAUGGAGUGUUAUUGAGUUAGUAUUAAAUUUUUGUUAGAAAAUUUUAACGUUUUGAUAGUUAAUUAAUUAAAAAUGACUAAAUUGAAAAAUGUGCAAAACUUGCUAAAAUGAUUAAAUAGCUCAAGUGUUAAAUAAAAGAGGACUUAAAAGGAAAAUUACCCUAAAAAUGGUAGCUUAGGCAGCAUGGACGGAGAAAAAUCAAGAAAUUGAGUGAAAUAAGGGCAAAAUUGGAAAUUUUACAAAUUAAACAAAUAAAACAAAGACUAAAUUGAAAAUCUAGAUAUUUCUUCAUCAUUCUUCAGCCAAAAACACCAUAGAAGAGUUCCUUUUAAGCUGGUUUUUCAUAUUUUUUCACUCUAUAAGUUCAAUUCUUGCCUUUAUCUUAUAUUUUUUGUGUUUUUGAGACUUUUACAAUUAGGUCCAACUAUUGAAUUCAUUAGUUUUUUUAUUCUAUGAGUGAUUUUGAAAGUUACCAUGGAAAGGUGCUGGAAGUUUAUGAUGAAUUAACAUGGAUUUGAAGAUCUAAUUUUAUUAUAUAAUGAUUUCAUCAAGUGAUUUUAGUAUAAAUUGAUUUUUAAGACCUAAUUGUAAAAAGUUAAGAAUUGGGGUUUAGUGUUGAAAUUCUGAUUUUCAAAGGUUUUGUAGUAGUUUAAAAUGAUGAAAUAAAGUGUUAAAGCUCAAUUGAUAGGUUAAUUGAUUAGGGAUUAAAGUGUAAAAAUUGUAAAAUUUUGGGUAAAUGUGUAAUUUCAAAAAUUGAAGGGUAUAAAUUGUGAAGUGGAAUGAGGAUGAAAUAUAUGUGCUAAUGAAUGAAUAAUUUUAUAUUAUAGAUCAAGAUUCCAAAGAAAAUCUAAUAAAAUAUAAAUUAUCCAAAUAGUUCCUGAGCUACAACAAAUUUUACAAACUAGUCUAGGUAAGUUCGUAUGGUUAAAUUUGAAUAUUAUUUAUUUAAUUGAUGAUUGGAAUUUAUGUUUAUUGUUGAAAAUAAAAUUAUUUUUAAACUAUGUAUAUAAAAGUGAAAGUUUGAAGCUACCAGAACGCAGGAUUAAGUAUAUUCGUUCAGUGCAAGAAAAGAAUUGACGGCAAAUUACCCAAGUAAACUGAGGUUCAGCUUUGUUGCGAACUUCUGUGUUUGCUUUCCGUUUAGCUCACAUGAGCUUUAGUUAACUCGUAUGAUUUUCAGUUUAACCCUAUUGGGUUUUCGUUUAGCUCUUUUGAGCUUCAGUUUAACCCUUAUGGGUUUUUGUUCAGCUCUUACGAGCUUCUAUUCAACCCUUACGGGUUUUCGUUUAGCACUUGUGUGCUUCCGUGCAGCCUUCGAGCUUCUAUAUACGAUGUACUCAUAUCCGUAAGACGUUCUCUGAUUUGACAAGGUUGGUAAGUGAUAUAUGGAAUUAAUGUCUAAAGAUUUAAAGUUAUUUUGAUAUCGAUAUGAAAUAAGUGAAUUCUUCGAUUGAAAUUGUGUUUGGCAGGAAUAGUAUAAUGAAUGAUUUGCUUAAAUGAAUUGUUAUAAUAUGUUCGGUAAGAUUUAUGUUUAAAGUCAACAAACUUACUAAGCUCAUUAAGCUUACUUUAGUUGUUCAAUGUUCUUUGUAGAUUUUCAAGAAGUUCGGAGGAUCAGAUCAACACAUCAGUUCACACUAUCUAGAUAAUUCCGGUAGAUUUUGUUAAGUAUCUUAAGGUUUAUAUGGCAUGAAUAGGAUUGAAUUGAAAAGUAUACUUGAAUUAUGAAUGUGAAUGAUGCAUAUAUAUAUGUUUGUAUGCAUAUAUAUUUAGUAGUAGUUUUUAGUAAUCAAUGAAUGGAGUUUUUAUGGUAAGUUUAUGCAAAUGAGUCUUGUGAUUACAUUUUAUGUUUAAAACAUAAUUUUUGGUUUGUAUUGGUUGUUUGGUUGGAAUAAAUUAGUAUAUGAGAAUGUUGUGUGCAGGUUGGUAUCAAAAAGGGUCAGAAAAUGGCCUUAAAAUGGCCUAUUUUCGUUCACACGGAUAGAGACACGGGCGUGUGUCUCAACCGUGUGUGACACACAGCCAUACACAUGGGCGUUUAGUCUGGUCGUGUGUCCCCUACAUCUUAAAUUUUAGAAACAGAAUACUCAGAAUUAAGCACACAUGCGUGUGUCUCAACCGUUAAUCCACACGACCUAGCACAUAGGUGUGUGGCUUGGCCGUGUGAAAAGUGCAACUAAUUUUAGGAAAAUAAAUUGACCACAUGGCCUAGCACACGGGCGUGUAGUUGGCCAUUUGACCCAAGUCAAGGAGUUACACGGGGUAAGACACAGCCUGAAGCACGGACAUGUCAUGGGAUCAUACGGGCGUGUCCCUUGGCCACACAGGCGUGUGACCCUUGUACCUAGGAAAAAUUUUAAAAUUUUGCGAAAAAUUUUCUGAGUUCUUGAUUUGAUCCCGACUUACUUAUAAUGCUUAAAUUGGGCCGUGAGGGUCCAUUCAAGGGACGAUAUGAUUAGUCUCGAUUAUGAAUAAUAAAUGACAAGAAUUAUGUGUAAUUAUUCUGUAAACUCUAAUAAUACUCCAUAACCCUAUUCUAGCGAAGGAUACGGGUUAGGGGUAUUACAAUACUUCUUAGAGAAAACCAAUCCAAGGCAAGCUUGUAAUAGCAGGACCUAAAGGAGGUUAAGAUGCUUUCAAUGGAUCUUGAGUGGAAAUCCUAGGGGUGGACCACGUAGGAUCCCCUUCCCUUUAGCUUGAGCAACAACCACCGUGCUUGAAGAAGUAGGGUUCCCAAGGUAUUAUUCAAACAACGAUUGCAGUUCCAACUUAAAAUCCUCCUUAAAACCUUGAAGUAUCUCACUUAUCAUCAAGUUGGGAUAACUCUCAUUGAAUCUUCAUCAUUUCUUGCUGCAACACACAUACAUCCUUUUGCAACUGCGUGGUAACACCAUCCCACGCCAUAGAAAACAUUGAAGCUCUAAUACCCUUGAUGAGAUCGAAAACCAAAAAUAGGAAAUAAAGAAAAGAGAUGGAAAAGAAGAAAAGAGAGCAAAGAAACCAAUGAAUUUGUGUGCAUAACAAUUUUUAUAACCUCCAAAGUCUUUUACACCGAAUAUAUAGGAAAAACAAAAGAAUUGUUUUUUAAAAAUUAGUUAAAAUGAACGGUAAAACUAACUGUACAUAUGUGCCUUCAAAACGCUUCGUUUCAUUAAAGUCUCGCUACACACCGUUUCAUUAAGUUCUUCUCUAAACGCAUCGUUUGUCUUUCUUAGCCAAAGUUCCUUUAUUUCAGUGCCAAAGUUCCUUUAUUUCAGUUUCGACCCAUACCAUUGGCCAUAGGUAUAACAACGAGCUCAUUUUCUUAAAUGAUAUAUACGCGUAUACACCUACCCCCUCACGUCAAUCCCACGAGCCUCUUAUCCAUUCUUAUUCGAUCACGGCGGGGGGCAAGGCAAAAUAGAAAAACUCACAUUAGGUUUAGGGAUAAUCAGGCUCGAACUGAUGACUUCCACCACGUCAAGGUGACACUCUACCGCUGAGUUAUAUCCCUUCCCUGCCCCCAUCAAGAAAUAGAACUGACUAAUCCUAAGUCAAAGGAUCGAGAAACUCAACAACGCCACUAUUCUUGAACAACUUGGAGCCAGGCUUUCCUUUCGCACUAUUACGGAUACGAAAAUAAUGGAAAAAGUUGGAUUCAAUUGUCAACUGCUCCUAUCGGAAAUAGGAUUGACUACGGAUUCGAGCCAUAUACACAUGGUUUCAUAAAACCGUACGAUUCUCCCGAUCUAAAUCAAGCAGGUUUUACAUGAAGAAGGUUUGCCUCAGCAUGUUCUAUUCGAUACAAGUAGGAGAAGCGGUAUUCUUAAAAAAAUAGAGAAAUCAGAACCAAGUUAAGAUGAUAUCACCAACACGGGUUAAAUUACUACCUUUAAGAGUGAUCUAGAUUCUAUUUGAAGUUAUGAAAACAUUUGGAUUCAGUUAUGAUGAUUUUGGUUUUUUUUCUUUUUGUUGGUACCCAUCCAGGCAUUAGCAUUCACUUUGCAAAUGACAGGAGACAAGUUUUCUGCCGAUUUUAUCAAUUUAGUUUGCUAAACAGACAGAAACCUUAACAAUUAAAAAUUGGAAGGAAAUGAGAGAAUACAGGAAAGAAAAUGGUUCCAAAUCCAUAUGUUUGGUUCCAUUCGGUUGAGGAAACAAAUGUAAGCAAAGUAGAAAAAAAAAAAGGAGAAUGAGGACUAAGACCAGAUAAGAUUAACCUUCCACACCAAAGUCGAUGAUAAAAUUCAUUGACCUUCACUCAGCUGAAGGUCUCCACAAUUCUGACAUCGUCCACUGAAGAAACUCCAACUCUUUCACAUCAUUUUGAGCCUGGUUUGCAGGGAGAAAGAGUGUGAGACAAUGAAAGGUCAAAAGUGCAAAGGGCAUAAAAUUUUGAAAAGAGACAACCAAGGAAAAAGAAAUUUUAAAUGAUGCUUUUGCAAAUUUUUUUGUUUUUCCCUGGUUUGGAAUAUGUCAAUGGCCUUUCAUUUUUCUUGAUUUAUUCCAUCAUAUAUCUCAUGUCCUUAGUUCCAUACCUUGUAGUUGCUGUAAUUACAAACCAUGAAGUACAAAGAAUCCAAGUGUUGGAACAUUUCUGGACUGUUGCUAUUCUACGUUUCCAUUAACUCAGGAAGACAAAGAACUCAAAUGUUCAGGUGUCUAAACCUAUAUAUCAUUAAAAAAUUUCAUAAAUAUGUAUGUACCUUUUCACUGUAUAAUCCAUUUAUGGUGAUAUUAAGGUCCUUAUCUGUAAAAGAUCUAUCUCCUCCUUCUGUUGGACAUACUCGUUUUAGCAAUGGUGUGCUUACUUCUCCUUUACAAAAAACACUGAACUCUGGGCAUUCGAUUGCAACCAAUUCAACCAAAGAUGGGAACUCAAAGCGAUAGUACCCUGAGCAAAAACUUGUAAGCGCCUGUAAGCUUUGAAGUCUGAGAUACUCCAGAUGCUUGAACAUGAUGCUAUAUGUACUUCUAUCGUCUGCAUCUGCUACAAUUCCUUCUAGCAUUUUGCAAUCUGUUAUCCUCAUCCUUUUCAGUUGCACCAUGCUUUUAGCAGUUGAGGGUGUUACUAGAUUUCUAAGUCCGUGACAUCUUGAUAUUUCAAGAGUAGUCAGAUUUUGGAAAGACACUGUGGAUGGAACUAAAUUCUUCAAUUUGGGGCAUUCCGAUACUUUUAGACUUCUCAGGUUUCGAAAAUGUGUUCCAGGUUGAGACUGAAACUCUUCCUUCCAGAGAUGCAAUAACUCAGGAAGUUUAGACAACCGUAAAUCACUAAAACUAUCAAGUUCCCAUGCCUGCAUUUUUUCCUCCGUGCUUUUACACUGAAAUAUUUCUGUAAAGGAGGCAUCAUCAACAACAAGCCUUUCAAGUUUGGACAAUGAGAGAAAGAAACCAGAUGGAAGAAUAUCUAACUGCUUAGGUAAGCCUAUGAGCUUCAGAACCUUUAGUUUGGAGAAUGAAUCCAUAGAAAUUUGGUCAUUACAAAUCUUUCUCAGGCUUCCCAUGUCCAUUAUUCCUAAUUUCUCCAAGGAGGGGAAUGCCACCUGCAUGAAAGAUUUGCAUCAAUAACUUGAAAAAAAAAUGAAGAUAAAGGUAGUAAAGGAAUUGCCAUAACCUUUUCAUCAAUUAGAACUGUCAAAUCAGUAUGCAUAUUCUGCCUUGAGUUGUUUCUAGUUACAGAACCAGAGAUGAAUGUAUUCAACAUAGGGCAACUCUGAAUCCAAAGUUCUUUCAAGAAGGGGAACACAAGGUAAUUUCCUGAGUAAAAUCUUGUGAGAUUGGAGAGGGAAAUAAGCAGUAAAGUUUCCAGUUUAGGGAACAUUUUCUUGCUCAUCCUUUCUCUUUUUGGUAAUCCUUUUCUGAUUAUUACCUCUUCCAACAUCUCACAAUCAUGAAUCUCAAGUUUUUCAAGAUGCACAAGGUCCAUGGCCAUGGAAGGGUUAAAUGGACAUCUCAAGUUUCUACAGUUAUAAACUUUCAGAAACUUAAGGUUUUUAAAGUCCAAAAUUCCUUGUGGAUUCCAGUUUCUUAUUUCCAUCAACUUAGAGGAAUCAGAGAGUACCACAUAUUGGAGCCCACGAUAUUCAACCUACAAAAGCAACAUAUUACAAUACAGAAAAAUGGAAUUAAGAGAAGCUCUUAUGUAUGUUCUUUGAGUUUUUCCCCUGAUUUUUCCCCCAUGGAAAUAAAGGUGCAGAAAAAAUAAACUUGAGGAUCAAAGUCUGGGGUUAAUGCAUACCGUUUCCAUGAACAAAAGCUGUAUGGUGGUGUUUUGAUCGCCUUCCCAGUGGCCUUCACCUCCAGCUUCUCUUGAAUACACCCGUUUUAGUUUUGGUGCAUUAAACCUUUCCCGAGGCAAAGUUUUCAUCUUUGGGCAAUGUCUCAUGGUUACAGUUUCCAAUGAAGGGAAUUGGAAGGUGCAGUUUCCUGAGCAAAAGCUCGCUAUGUUUGGCAGACAACUAAGUCCCAAAUACUUUAGCUGAGUUAAAACAAUGGCUUCCUUCACUUCAUCACCUGGGCAUGUUACAAUUUCUUCUAGCAUUUUGCAAUCGGUUACACUCAUUCUAUUAAGCUGCACCAGGCUUUUAGCUGUGGAGUGUGCAAAUAAAUGUUUAAGUCCCUCACACCUGGACACUUCUAGAGUUGUCAAAUUCUCGAAAGACACUGAGGAUGGCACUAGAACGCUUAAUUUACCACAAUCCUGCACUUCUAGAACUCUCAUGUUACAGAAAAUUACUCCAGGCUUAAAAUUCUCCUUCCAAAAAUGUGUCAGUUCAUGGAGUUUGGAUAACCUCAGUACACUCAACUGAGCACAUGCCCCUUCCAGCUUUUCGUCACCACCAGGUUCUUCACAUGGGAAUAUUUCAUUAAUGGAAGCAUCACUCAGAACAAAAUUUUGAAGAUUUGAUAGUGAUAGAAAGAAAUAAGGUGGAAGAACAGUCAGUAGUGGAGAAUUUAUGAGCUCCAGAACUUUCAGCUUAAAAUACCCUUCUGGAAGUUGUCCAUGCCAUAUCUCUUUCAUGUUGCCAUUGCUUUCCAAUCUCAGUUCUUCUAAACAAGGGAAUGUGCCCUGGUCAGUUGACAAAUGUGUUAAACAAAAGCAAGGAUGAAUUUCGAUAAAGAAAAUGGAAUUGUGGCAAUGAGUUUAUUGUCUAUCCAGACAUUCUUGAACUCUCAAUGUCGCAUAAUACUAAUACAAAUCUCAUGCUCGGUCUUCCGGUUUAGAUGGUAAACAUGCAUACUAUUUGAAAUCAGAUUAGGAUAGCAAGGAUGAAAUUAGAUAAAGGAUAUAGAAUUUUGCCAACAGUUUAUUGCAUAUCCAGACACUCCUGAAGCUGAAAACAUUGCUUAAUACUAAUACUAUUUUCAUCCUUGGCCCUUCGUUUUAGUUGGUAAACAUGCAUGCUAUUAGAAUUCAGAUCAGGACAGCUAUAGAGAGAAUGCUCAUGGAUUAGAUGUGGAUGGAUUUAUGCAGAAAGUAAAAUAUGCACAUCUAGUUUUACUAAUUACUAUGUUAGAAUAAGAAAAAGAAAAUCAAUGCAUCUUGUGGACAUGUUUCACAUACCAUAUUGAUCCAAAAUAAAGGAUGCUGUCCUCGUGUUUCAUGGGAGCUUGAAUAUUCUGAAGCAAAUAUCUCCACUUUGUCACAUCCAUAAACAUCCAAUUUUUUCAAUAAUGGCCAUUCGGUGGUAUGCACCCCAGAGUAGAAACUCUUCAGUUUUGGUAGCAUAGAAAGGUUCAGGUAUGUCAUUUGAGGAAAUACAAACUUGGUGUUUAUUUCUGCCUCAGUGAAUUUGUGUUCAAAUAAUUCUUCUAAUGAGGCACACUCCAUUACUUGCAGAUUUUUUAGUCUCUUAAGUCUUUCCAGCAUAUUAAGUGGGAAAAUGUUUGAUAGUUUCACACAACUAUGAACUUCAAGGUGUUUUAACUUGGAGAAGGAGUUCAUCUCAAGUUGGUCAUCCCAUAUCCUUUCCAAAUUCCCCAUGUCUACAAUUGUCAAAUCCUUUAACAAAGGUAAUGACACCUACAAAAAUUAUUUCAUUGUGUUAAUAACAGAACAUGGUUAACUAUGUGAGAAAAGAGACAGAACAAUGGAGAACAGGCCUUUCGACUUUAUUCGAUGAAUUCUGUCUUAAAACAUUUUAAGCCUCAGAAAAUAUCACUGAACAAUGGGUGUAGAGAGAUUCAUGGAUGCACCUGCCAUGCAUUUUUCAUUUUGAAAUUUGCACCCUACAGAAAAAUCUUUUUAAAGAAAGUAAAAAAUUCACAAUGCAGAUCAGCCUGACCUUAUUACUGAAAAAGGGUUUAGCAGAGGCAUUAGGGGCAUCCUUUACAAGAAUAUUCGAAUACUCUCCACUGAUGAUCUCAUUGUGCAGCUCGUUUGAAACAGUGGAUGCAAAUGCAACCAUCUUUGGACAGCCAACUAACGUAAUUUCCUUCAAGUUUGGACAUUCCAGUGCAAAACUUCCUGAGGAAAACCAUGACAAGCCCAAACAAGACUUGAUAGUUAUUGUUUUAAGCUGAGGGAAUAUGAUCUUCAUUGUAGUUGAUUUGUCAUCUCUGAUGAUUUCUUCAAUUACUUUGCAAUUUUUUACUUUUAUCUGCUGCAGCUGCACAAGAUCUGCAGCCAUGGAAGCUGUUAACAUGUAUCUCAAGUUGUUACAGACAUACACUUCCAGACAUUUGAGUCUUUUGAAGUCUAUAAUUCCUCGAGGAACUGUAUUCCAGAUUUCCUCCAACUCAGGAAACUCACGAAGUUUCAAAUGCUCUGGCUCAUAAUAUCUUACCUAUUAAAACCAAAUUGCAACAGUUAAUACUAGAAUAAUAAAUUGAAUUGAAAAAUAAAAAGGAAUAACAGAUUCUUCUUUAAGCAAAAAGAGGGCUUACUAUAUUUUUGUGCAACUGAUAUAUGGUGGCAUUGAGGUCACCAGCCCAAAACCCCUUAUAGUCCUCUUCUGAUAGCCUCACUCCAUGUAACUGUGGGGUACUUAAGACUCCCUGACAAAAGAUCUUUAAUUUGGGACAUUGUCUCACAAUAACUUGUUCCAAAGAUGGGAACUGAAAGCUGUAUUCCUCUGAACAGAAGCUUGAAAGGUUUGGCAAAUAAUGAAGUACUAAGCAUUUCAGCUUGCUGAAACUUACUAAGUCUUUUGCAUCAUCUUUCUCUUUUGCAACUAUUUCUCUCACCAUAAUGCAGUCUCUAAUCCUCAUUUUUAUCAGCUGCACCAGAUUCCAAGCUACUGAAGAUGUAAUUAAGGCAGUUGCUUUGCACUGCCAAAGGUCCAAAGUUAUGAGAUUUUGAAAGGAUGACAAGUAUGAUCCCAAACUGAUCGAACCAUCACAUCUCCUAACUUCAAGAGUUUCAAGAUUUAGGACAACAUGGGGUAGUUGUGAGUUUUGCUCCCCUAUGUAGCCAGUGUUCAGAAGACUAACCGGCUCCCUUUCCGCUUUCUUUUCACUUGCAUCUCCUUCAUCAAUGAAGUUCCCUUUGAAAUCACAAUGAAUCAGCUCAAGCUUUUUCAGAUUGUUAAAUUUUUCUAGAAGAUUAAAUAGAAAAACAACUGGUUUGUCAUGAUAGCCAAGCACUUGAAGAACUUUUAUGCGGCUGAAGAUGCCUACUUGAAAUGGAUGAUUGCGUAUUACUGAAAUGUGCUUGCUGUUUAAUGACAACUCCUCCAAAUCAUGGAUCACCUAAGAAUCCAUUAGAAACAAGCUGAAGUUAGUUGCUAGUUACCUUAAUACAAAGACAUAUUUUGGUAAGAAAAUAGAACACUUCCUUUACAGGUGAUCAAAUAAAGUCAAUUAAACAAGAGUGAUGAUUCAAUAUGAUUAAACAGGUUGGGUGUUUCACAUAAAUUCUUCAGCUAUACAUUAACUGCUUGUUGAAUAUCAACAACUUAAAUACUCAUUUAUAAGCACCUCAUUCAGUUUGCACAUAAAUGUAGGAUAUUGGAGAUUCAUACCUUUUCAAAAAAGAAAACUGGCUUUUGAUUUGAGGACUGAUGUUCUUCCAUCCCAAGCACUUCUUGGCCACAAUGAUAAGUCUUCAACUUUUUUAACUUUGGCCAUUUUGCUUCAUAUGCUGCUGGGUAAAAGCAUUUCAGUUCAGGCAGGUUCUGAAGUGUAAGAGAGCAGACUUCAGGAAAUUCAAACUCAUUAACAUGUUGGUUCUGUACUUUCUCCUCUGAAACAACCACUUCCAAUCCACAAGAAUCAAUUGUGAGAUCUACGAGUUGUUUAAGACCUUUUGCCACUGAUGCAGGAAAAAGACUUUUCAGACACCAACAGUCUUGAAUGUAUACAUUUCGUAUAUUUUCAAAGGUAAGAUUGCUUUGGGAAUCCUCAUUCCAGACAUGUUUCAGCUUUGGAAGAUGAGAAACAUACAAUCUUCUUAGCUGAGUGCCUACUUUGAUGUCCGAUGAUUCAAAAAUAUUUUGUAGUGAAUCACAGUUGAAAACUAUUAGUGUUUCCAAUCCCUGGAAGUUCCACUCCUUAAUAGAUGGGAAAAUAGUCAAUAUAUCAUUACAAUAUCCAACCUUCAUUUCUUUUAGUUUGCUAAAAGAAUCUGUGUGGAGUUGAGCGUGCCAUAUCUUCAUAGUUCCCAAAUGGGAGAUCUUCAAUUUCUCCAACUUUGGAAAUGCAACCUGUAUAAUGUCAUGCAAAUGAGUACAAAGAUUAAAAAGAAUUAAUUCCUACCAUUGAUGUAAAAAAAAGCGGGAAAAAUCACACUGAAGAAAAAUGGGGAAUUGUUCACCUUUGCAUUAAAGAGAACUUGUUCACCUAAAUGAUGAUCAUUCUCUUUGUUUAUUUCUAGAGUUCCAAUGACAGUUGUGAUGUCUGUACUCUGAGGUUUGUGCAUAAACUCCUUCAAACGUGGGCAAUUCUCUAUCUCCAAAAGCUUCAAAGAUGGGAACUCGAGAAAGCAACUCUCUGAGCAGAAUCCGACUAAGUUCACAAGAUUUCUCAUUUUCAAGGAAUUUAGUUGGGGGAACAAUAUCUUGGCAAUCUCUUCUUUUUCUUUUUCUUCUUCUUUUACCUUUUCUUUUGUUUCUGUUUCUUUUUCCUUUUCUUUUACUUCAUCUGGAAUUAUAAUCUCUCUUAUACAUUUGCAGUCAAUUAUCUCAAAGCUUUUGAGUCUCAAUAAGCUUCUAGUGAUAGAAGGUGAAAAAAGGUGUUUAAGGUUGCCACAACCCUCAAUUGCCAAGCUUGUCAAAUUCUGACUGUAGUAAGAUGAUUUCAGCCAUAGCCUUUCAAUGUUGAUGCAGGACAACUGCAGUUUCUCAAGGACAGGAAACACAACCUACAUAAAUAAACAGCAUUUCAGUGAAAUUUAAUCUUUCUUUUGAGUUUCUAAAAUUAUGCUUCUAUAACUGAAAGAAGAUAAGAUAUAUAUAUGCAUCGUAAUAUUAGCACCUUUCCAUCAAAAAGUAGCCAAGACCAUGUAUUCACCGGUUCCAGUUGAUAAAUGGAACGGCUCUUCUCUUUGGAGCAGAAACUAUGAAGCUCUGGUAGAAGCUUCAGUGUUAAGGAUCGCAAUUGGCCAAACUGAGUUUUAUUGGUUGCUAUACCAGCAUUUUGCUCUCUCUCUUCAGUAACGAUCUCUUCAAUGCUUUUGCACUUUGAAACUUUAAUUUCUUGAAGUUGGACAAGCAUUUUGGUCAUGGAGAAUGGAAAAAGAUUCUUGAGUCGGUCACAACGUUCAACACUUAUGAUUUGCAAUCUAUUGAAACAUUCUUCUUCAAGUUUGCCUUGACAAAUCUUCUCCAAAUUAAUCAGAUUCUGAAGAACUAGUGAUUUGAGGAUAGGAAAAGCUUUACCUGAUGCCACCUCCAUAGAGUUAAUAAUGAACAGUAAUUCUGGACCAUUUUGUAUGUAGAGAUUCUUGAGCUGUGGAAAACCAGUGCCAUCCAACUCAUACAGCAAGCUCUUGAUGCCUAGCAUUUCAUCUAGAUAUAGAUCUUCAGUUUUCUGCAACAACAGUUUAACUCCACGAUCCAAGUGAAUUCCCUUAGUAAGCUGGAGUUUCAGUGUCCUCUCCUUUUCAUACUUUCCGGACCAGUUCCAGACCUCCCCGAUAAGAAUCUUGUAUCGAUUCAGUUUUUCAGAGAAUAGUUCUGCUGGCAUAAGUUGAACAGAAUGAAUAUGGACAUCCAAAGCAACUAGACCAGACAAAGAAUUCAAUUCACUAAGGCUGGCAUUGCCUUCAACACCCCAUUGAUCGAAGCUGUUGCGCAUAAGCAGUUCUUCUAAAUAAGGCAAGCCUGAUAUGAUUUUAUCUGGAAUGAAUUUAAGCUUAGAACAAUUGCUCAAGUCUAAGGACUUAAGCCUUGUUAGUCCCCCUAUUUCCCGGGGCAAUCUAUGAAUAUCAGAACUGAGAAUUUUAAGUGUAUCCAAUUGCUUCAGCUUCCCAACAAUUGCGAUGUCAUUCAACUUACAUUCAUCGAAUCGCAACCUUUGAAGGUUUCUUAAAGAAGUAAAUGAUGAAGGCAGGGAAGCAAAAUCCAUACCAGUGAAAUCUAAUAUCAAGAGUUCAUUCAUCCGCUUAAAGAAAUUGUCUGGAACUUCUAAUGAUGGAUUUUUGUUGAACAAAACCAGCAACUUUAGCCUGGGGCAUUCGAGAUUGUCUGGCAGCUUGUUAUUGCUACUGUAUGGCAGCGAAAUGGCAGUGCAACUGUUGAGUUUUCUUUCCUUUAGCAGCUCUUCGAUACGGUUUUCAUCCUCUAUAACAAACAUCCGCUUUUCUUCAGAUGCAAUCCAAAUGGCGACAUCACGAACAAUGUCAUGCAUUUUCACCGCUUCAUUGUUGUCACUGCUGAGUAGUAAACCUGCAUCUUUGAGCUUAUUCAAACAUUUUUUGGCUUCUUCCAAUGUGCUAACAUUACUUGCUAUUCUCAAACCCGAGUUGUAUCUUAGCAAAUCAGAUACAUGAAUGUCAGAACCCCGGGGCAGCAAGGCACAGAGUUGGAAAAAUGACUGCAAUUGAGGGUUCUCUAACAUGCUGUAACUCCACUCUAUAGUGAAGUAAACACUUUUGAGCGCUUCUUCCUUUUUUGUAAUUGGCUUUGUUUCUUUUCGCAAAGCCUCCACCAAAAGGUUGAAGUUUUGUGUUCUCAGUGCAAUUGCAAUUGCUGAAAUAGCAACCGGAUACCUGCACAGUUUUUCACAACUUUAGUUAGUAGUUGUCGGUAACCAGGCUGGUUUGCUGCAUUGCCCACAACUUUCUGAAUCCACCCCAUUGAUUCUUCCUCAGUUAACACGUGGACAUUGAACAUUUUUUCCGUUUUCAUAUCAAUGAGUACCUCUCGACUUGUGGAAGUCAGCAAUAUUUUGAAUCUAACAGCAGAGAAUUUCUGAAAACCAUUUUCGCUGAUAUUUUGCAUCAAUGGCCAUCCUAGAUCUUCUUCACUUGCAAUACUCUGGUCACCUUCAAUAGCAAUCCCAACUUGUUCCAAUUCCAGUCUUUGGCCAUCCCAAAUAUCAUCUAAAAUUAGAAGAACUCUCUUAUCUUGUUUCUUCAACCACUGCUGCAGUCUCAUUGCUCUUGCAAACACAGUCUCCUCAUCAAGUUUCAGGCCUAGUGCAUCUGCAAUUUCUCCCUGAAUUCUUUUUAUCUUUGGAUUCCAUGAAACAAUUACCAUCACAACCUCAUCAAACAUGGUUUCUUCCCUGGCUCUCCUAGCAGCUUCUUUCACUAGCAUGGUCUUGCCUACACCAGGCCUCCCAUUUACUCCAAUAAUCUUCAGAUCAGGAUCCUUUAAAGCUUCCACAAUAUCCUCCAGUGUAGCUUUCCUCGAUUCGAAAGCCUCAAAGCCUUGAAUAGGCCUAGAUUUUGUCUCCUGGGUAUUACCAGGAUAUAAACCUCUACUGAACCCGCGUUGUUCAAUCAGCUUGCUGAUGGCCUUGGGGGUGUCAGCUUUUGCUGAACCACUGACCUUAGCUUCAACUUCCAUCACCUUGUCGGCCUCAUCACUGGUUUUCUUCUCCGGUUCAACUUCCAUCACCCGGUUUCUUUUAUCAGCUUCAGGUUGAUCUUCCAAGUUUUGAACCUUGCUCUCAUUGUUGAACUUGUGAGCUUCUGCUUGUUGAAUGAGCUCCAGAACAGCUUGUGCAUCCUCUUCAGCUUUCUUGUUGAGCAAGUCAAGAGACUUCAAAUUAGGACACAGGCCAAGGAAACACCUCUUCUUUGCUUGCGCUUCAAGGUUUUUCACUGUCUCUUCCUCUUCCUUGAUUUUCUCCUCUGCGCGAUUCACCCAAAUCUUGCCAUCUUGGUCAAACUCUUGCCCCUUUUCCUUGGAAACAUCAAUGAAAUGCUGCACUCUGUCUCUUUGGUAUCUCAGAUUCUCAAUUUGUUCCUUGAGAUUCUGAACUUUACUAUCAGGCUUCAACAUGUAACGUUUAAACCCAGAAACAAACUCCAUUUUUUGGGGAGUUUUCAAUUUAUAGUAAUUGGUAAAGCAGACAAGCAAACCAAAAACAAAAUAGCAGUGAACGAAUGAUCAAACUAUGGAGCAAAUGGAGUUUCAGUCAUUGUAAUGAAGGAAAAAAAGAAGCAAUGGAUGGCAAAGACAACAAGGCAAAGAAAGCAUCAAAAGGUAAAAUAAAGAACAUGAAGAUAAAACUAAGAAUGUGGAAUCAAUGCUUUGAUCAAUUGCAGAAGUUAGGGCUUUGACCAUUAGAAGCUCAAACUCCUAAUUCUUAUGACUGGUUUUUUUGAGUCCUGCCGGUCUCCAAGUUAGCCCAAUUGAGUAAAAAAUUUGGAGAUAAUAGAGUAGGAAUUGAGUAAAAAAAUUUUAAAGUUUGUUGGUUUUGAUAAUUUUUUUUAUAUUUUUUUUUAGAUUUUUUUAAAAUAUUUAAUUUUUUAAAAAGAAUAUAAAUUUUCAAACUUUUAUAAAUAUUGUAAAUUUUAAAAAUUAUUUUUAUUUUUUGUUGAGAGAGUUACCAAUUUUAUAUUUUUCAAAACUAAUGGGACCAAAUAAAUAUUUAUAUUAAUAUGUUAUUUGAAUUAUUUAAAUUGUAAACUUUUAACUUAGACUUGAAAUCAAAACUCGAAUUACAAGUUAACUCGAAAAAAAUAAAAUAAUUUGAUUCGAUUAAUUCAAAAUUUAAUUUUUUUAAUUUUUUUCGAAUCGAAUUGAAUUUUGCUCAAAAAAUUUUUCAUUUUUCAUUUCUCAAUACAUGUUGCAAUUAGUUUCUUGUUUAAUAAUUUUAUUUGAAAGUGGAGCCUCCAUAUUUAAGUUAUAAUUGUUGAUAAAAUUAUUUAUACAUCUCUUAAAAAAUUUAUGAAUGUUUCUUUUUCAUAUUUUUUAAAAAGAAGAACAAACGAAUUUUCUUCAAAGAAAAGAAAAAGUUAAAAUGAAGCAAAACGGUUUCGGAAGGCAAAGAAUAAAGUGUCGAGCAGCUUUUAACUGCUUGAAGUUAUUUAAAGUUUUUCUUUUUUCUUUUUUUUUUCAAUUUUCCAUAAGAAUUUUCUGUUUUUUUUAAGUUAAAAUUUUAAAGAUUGGAAAAUAAUUAAGGAAGGAAUUUUUGGUUCCUAAAUAUUCUUAGAAUUAGAAAUUACGGCAAUAAAAGUUGUUAGGAAAAUCACGAAACUUUGCUUUUCAUCAAUUGUUAAAGAAUACAUGUGAGAAUUAAAGUUACAAAUCAAAAUGCAAUUGUUCAUGUACAACACACUGAUAGGCUAGAUUAUCGGAUGCAUUUCUGGACUUAGGUAUGAGAAUAUGACUUUCAAAGAUGAAAAAAGAAUAUAAAAGAAAUAGAACAUAUUAGACAUAUGCUCUUAUAUGUCAUUCAAACUCAAAGUUGGAGUAACAUAGCUAGGAAGUGAAAUAACAACUUUAGAUCAAUGAAUAUCGCUGAAAUUGAGCAGCAGCAACAUACUCUAGUAGACAGCAGUGAAAGGGGUAUCUCCUAUAACUCUUUAUAAAGUAACUGUGCCAAAAUGAUAAGUGAAAUAAUCAAUUUCUGCCAUUAAACUACAUUUUAUGCUUAACCCCAUUACUAAAAGUAGGAUAUUUUUAACACUCGUACCUUAUGGAACACAAAAUCAUUUCUGUGAUUCUUUGAAACUCAUACUUUUCUAAAGCAAAUAUCUCCACUUUUCCUUCAAUUUUGGCAUUUAUGUAGUAUGUAUCCUUGAGCUGACACUCUUCAAUAUGAAUUGCCUAUAGAGUUGAAGGAUUAAAUAAGUUUAAAAAAAUAUAGAUUUAAGGCUCUUUCCAUAGCAAUGGAUUGAGUGAUUGUUGCAUCCGCUGUAAUCUCAUCAUUCAUCCCCUUAAAUAAAAAUGGAAAAAGUAUUCCAAAGUUCUGUUUUUUUUUUCCCUUUAAUCAAACACAUGUAAGAUAUAGACUCACGCAGUUAGUUGACAGGUUGUACCAUAUCUUUCUCCAGUUUCCUACAUCCAUGAUGCUCUGUUCCUCUAAGUAAGGUUAGUUUGCUAGAGAAAAAGAAGUAGUACAACAAGAAUAAGGAAUCAAAUAUUUAAGAAAAAUGAACAAUAAAAAAGACAUGAAAGAAAGCAACGAUACAAUAAAACAAAAAUGGGAUAUUACCUUUCAGUGGAAAGAGUUGGAAGCGAAUCUCUAAGUUGUUUCUUUCUAUCCUAACAAAAUAAUGUCAGUGCCACGAGUGAUCAUAAGAUUGGCCUUUGUCCUCUUAAAUCAUUUUCUCAACCAUUCACAUUGUUCAUUUUCAAUUAAAUACAAGUAUGACUUAUUAUUUAAUUGUAACAAAAGUAGUAUUUGAGGGUAAAACUUAUCAAUUUACUCAUAAUAUAUAUAUAUAUACUAGUUAUAAGAGUUUAACUAGGAAAAUAAGUAGACUUUAGUAUAAACUCUAACACUACUUAUCUAAUUAUAUUCUCAACAUUAAAAAAAAAAAAGGAAUUAAGCUUAUUUUUACUUAAAAGGCUUUUGGAAUCUCACCUCAAAACUGUUAACAAACGGCUUUUGAAGUCAAAAUGGAGAAUGUCCCUUAUCUUUGGACACAAGUCUCAUGAUUACUUUUCUAAGGAAGGAAAUAUAACUGAGGUAUAAUUCUCUGAGCAGAGCCUUGAAAGACUACCAAGUUUUAAAGACUUGAGUUGGGAGAAAACGAUGCCAUCCAUGACUUCAUCAGUGUAGAAAAGCUAUGAUUUCUUCGAACAUUUGACAAUCAGUAACACUCAUUCUUGUGAGUUACACCAUGCUUUUAGCUAUUGCGAAUGUUACUAAAUUUCUAAAUCCAUGGCAUUUUGAUGCCUCCAGAGUUGUCAAAUGUUUGAAUGACACAAAAGAUGGCACUAAAUUCUUUAAUUUGCCGCAUCCCAACACCAGUAGAAAACUUCUGCAAGUGAUAGUUUGUUCUUCUAGAGAUGUGUUAACUCAGGAAGAUAAUACAACAUUAAUUCCUUCAAGCAAGCAAGUGUCCCUGCAUGUUCGUUUUCAUCUCUUACUCCUUCAUAAUGAAGUAAUUCAUUGAAGGUAGUCCUUUUCCAAAAGAAAGGUAUUCAAGAUUUGGUAAUGAUUAAAUGAACCAAUCUGAUAUAGUAACUGUUGCAAAGUGGCCAUUCAUGCAGUGGCAAACUCUUCCCGUGAAGUUGCAAGCUCCCUUUAAACUGCGAGCUUAAGCAAGUCUAUGAGCUCUACAUUUGCGAUCUCACCUAAAACUGUGAGUUCAACCUAGUUGCGAGCUCAUAAUCCAUAAUCCAUAAUCCAUACAGACUUUGAGACCUUUCAAUCAAGAGAGGAGGUUUUCAAUGAUAUCAUGGAGUCACUGAAAGAUGCAACAACAAGCAUGAUUGGAGUGUACGGGAUGGCUGGUGUGGGCAAAACAUGGCUGGUCAAAGAAGUUGAGAGACAACUCCAUGAGGUUAAGUUAUUCAAUUCAGUAGUUAGAGCAACUGCAUCUCGAAUUCCUGACAUUAAGGAAAUCCAAGACCAAAUAGCAUACUCAUUGGGUUUGAAGCUUGAAGAAAACAGUCCGGUUGUAAGAGCCCGUAAAUUGUAUGGAAGGUUAAGGAAUGAGAAAAAUGUUCUUAUUAUUUUGGAUGAUCUUUGGAAGAAACUGGAUCUAAAGGAAGUCGGAAUUCCAUUUGGAAGUCAACACAAAGGAUGCAAAAUACUGUUGACCUCAAGAAGUCGAAAUGUUGUAAGCAAUGAGAUGGGUGCUACAAAGACCUUUGCAGUUGAUGAUUUAGAUGAGGAAGAAGCUUGGGAGUUCUUCAAGAAGAUGGCCGGGAACAGUGUUGAAAGUGAUGAGGAGCUGCGAUCUACAGCAAUUGAGGUAGUCAAGAAAUGUGCAAGAUUACCACUUGCCCUUGCAACAGUUGCAAGGCCGUUGCGAAAUGAAAGUUUAUUUGGUUGGAGGGAUGCUUUACAACAAUUACAGAGGCCUUGCUUGGAACAUAGCUCGAGUGAGAUAUCGGCUGAGGUACAUUCGAAUAUUAAGUUGAGUAUCAAUCAUUUAUCAAGUGAAGACCUCAAGCAGAUUUUCCUGCUUUGCAGUUUACUGCGUCGUGACACUAGGAUUGAAGACUUGUUGAGAUAUGCUCGUGGUUUGGGUCUAAUUAAAGGAGUCAACAGCAUGAAAGCAGAACGAGAUAGGCUGUUAAAAAUGAUGCGUACCCUCAAAGAAUCUUGUUUGUUGCGUGAUAGUAAAAGUACCAAUGAGGAGUACUUCGAUGUGCAUGAUCUUACUUAUAGUCUGGCCAAAUCAAUCGCUUCAAAGGACAAUCAAGUGCUUGCUUUAACAGAGGUAGAUAAGGAUGAGGAUGAGGAUGUUGUAGCAGAUUGGCCAAAUGGAGAGUCAAUGAAAGAGUGCAACAAGAUUAUUUUGCGGGAUCCUAGUAUCAACAAGCUUCCUGACCAGUUGAAUUGUCCGCAGCUUUUUCUCUUCCUUUUGUUUAGUAAGGAUCUCUCCUUGACGUUGCCGGAUAACUUCUUCAAGGAAGCAAAAAAUCUUAAAAGUCUUAGGUUUGACUUGCAUGCAUUUUUCUUCUUUACCUUCAUCAAUUGGUCUCCUAACUAGCCUCAGUACAUUGUGCCUAGAUCACUGCAAUUUGGGAGAUAACCUAACCAUUAUUGGAGCACUCAAGAACUUAAAUGUGCUUAGCCUUGCUGGAUCUGAUAUCAAAAUUGUACCCAAGGAAAUUGGGCAAUUGUUGAAGCUAAAGUUGUUAGAUGUGAGUGGUUGUACUAAACCCAAAACAAUUUCAGCUAACGUGUUGCCAAGUUUGUCAAAAUUAGAAGAAUUAUAUAUGGGUGGCACUUGUAUUCAAUGGGGACAACCCAAUGCUAGUCUUGCUGAACUGAACACACUGUCUCAUCUGUCCACUUUAGAAGUUGAAAUUCCGGACGCCAAGGCUGCCCCAGAGGACUUCUUUCAAAAGUUACAAAAGUUGGAAAGAUACAAGAUUUGCAUAGGAAAGGAAUGGGUGCGGUUUCGCAACUAUCAAUAUUCAAGAACCUUAAAACUCAGGCUAAACACAAGCAUUGAUGAUUUUGAUCAUGGAAUUAAGAAGUUGGUAAAGAGAACUAUAGAUUUACAAUUGGAUAAACUGAAAGGUGCGAAGAUUAAUGCACUGGAGGAGGUAACAGAUGAGGAAAGGCUAUCACAUUUGCAGAAUCUGCAUAUCCAAAAUGGUUUGGAUUUGAAUCUAUCAUUAAUGCUAGAAAUGAAUUUCCUCAUUUGCAGUCCUUGACAUUGGAGGGUCUUCCUCAACUCGUAAGCUUUUGCUGUCAAGACAAAAUCGAUGGUACCUCAUUGCCUCAACGUGAAUUGCCACUUUUCGGAGAAAAGGUAUGUAUAAUUCAAUAUCUUUCUAGUUUUUCUUUCAGGGCUUUCUUUCCUUUGCUGAAGCAUGCAAUAUUGCUCUUGUGGUGUUUUUUUUUUCUCGUUUUUCUGAUCAUAUUUUUUAUUUACUAGAAUUUUUCUACAAUACGACACUGUUUAUUGGUUGGCAGACACUAUUUUUGGUUUUUUUGAGUUAUUAGCUUUUUUGUAUUAUGUAUUCAAUAAGUAUGUUUUUUUUUAAAUAUUCUCAUAAAUAAAUUUUAGUUUUUUAGAAAAUAUAUGUCAUGUUUUGCAAUUGGAAGUAUAUCACCAUUAGAAAUUUCAAACGGAUAAUUUUUUAUUAUAUUUGGUAUUUGCAAAAAUAGAAUUAUAAAGUAAAUAUUUAUUUAGAAUUAUAUAUAUAUUUUACAAUAUUUAUUUAAAAGUAGAUUUAAUUAUGUGUUGUAGAUAUCGUUCCGUUCCUUGGAGAAAUUGUGGUUGUCAUCACUUAAUAUUACAAGAGUACGGCACAACCAGUUGUAAAAUGCAUCUUUUUGCACUCAUGAGAAGUUAACUACGUUGAAAAUCGAGGGUUGUGGAAACAUAAAAUACCUGUUAUCAUUUUCUAUGGCUAAAUAUCUAGUUCAUCUCAAAUACUUUGAAUGUUUUAAGGUGAAUUAAACUUAGGAAUGAAUUAAUGCAUAUUGUAUAAACGGAAUUCGAAUUCAAAGGUAUGCUAUCAGAAAUUUCCUGAAUAUUGACAAAUGAAUUUUCGUGCUUGUUUGUAAUAUUCCUUACCCCUCCGGCGACGGAUACGGGUUAGGAGUGUUACAUAUAUAAGGCCAAAAUCUCUUAAAAAAAACAUUUUCAACUCCCUUUCAAAAAAAAAACUCCCCUCCCCAUUUUCUCUCUGCAACCUAAUGGUCCGGCCAGGCUCCGUUCACCAACCACCGCCGCUCACCACCGGUAAAUUUUUUUGUAAUAUUUAUAAAUAUAUAAAAAAAUAAAGCUAAAAACGUAAUAGAAAAAAUAAAAAAGAAACUUUUAGCAAAUAUUGCUUUUGUUUUUCCGAUCUUCUGUAUAUUUCUGCUUAGUAUUUGUGUAUAUUCUUAAAAAAGAAAGGGCCUUUUUACAUUCGUUUUCUAAGGCUUUUAUAGCCUUUUUUACAACUGUUUUUCGACUAUUGAAGGUGGCGUGGUGGAUGCGGGCACUGACGUGGGCUUGCCUAGGGUUUUCUCCUUUUUGCUGAAAAAUUUUAAGUUCUUAGGCUGAAAAUUUGGACUAGGGUUUAGUUUUUGGGAUUGGGCUUGUUUGGGUUUAAUUUUUAGGGGUUUGGUUUUUUGUUUGUAUUUGGUUUUUUAUUGGUCUGGGCCACGAGUUGAAAUUGAGCCCUACAAUUAUGUCAUCUACAAUUCCAAUUGGGGAGAUGGCUAGUCUUGGCUAUCGAAGUAGUUAACUCCACGAGUAGAGACACAUAUGUAUUCAUUGGUAGAAUGAUACAUUGGACUAGACCCAAGAUGAAUUAAUUCUAAAUCCAGUUGUGAAUUAAUUAACUUAUGAUGUUCAUGGUGUGAUUUACCUAAAUUUGAGUUAGUCACUGAUCAGCCAUUUUUUUUUGUUGCCUCUUCAUAGCUUGCAGGCUCUAAUACGACAACAUUACAUCUUUCAUAUACCUUAGAUAUAGGUUUGGUGCCUUUGACUGGUAGAUCAUCAAAACAAUCAGCAUCUUGGUUUUGAACAUCACCAGUUCACACAUUCAGCUCAAUCUGACUUUGUUCAACCAUCUCAGCUUCUGUAGCUUCCCAAUUUCACAAAGCUUCCUCACUGAACACCUCUACGUUCAAACACUUUACUAGUGAAAGGAUUAAAAAUCCUAUACCCUUUCUUGCAAUUGUUGUAGCUAACAAAGAUACCUGGUUGAGCUCUUCUUUCCAGGUUAUUCCUUUUAAAAGCAGGAAUGAAAGUAUAGCACAAACAACCAAAAAUCUUCAGGUGUGACACUGAUGUCUUGAACCUAAACCAUUCUUCAAACGGUGUUAUACCCUUCACAGCUUUUGUUGGCGAUUUGUUGAGCAGAUAAAUGGAGGUGUUCACAGCUUUAGCCCACAACUGGUUUGGUAGCUUCUUCUAGAAUAAUAAACAUCUUGACAUAUCCAUAAUUGUUCUAUUUUUCCUUUCAUACACACCAUUUUGCUAAGGGGUGUAUGUGUUAGUCAACUGAUGUUUUAUCCCAGCAUAUUUGCAAAACUUCUGAAACUUUUCAAAAUUGUACUCAAUUCCAUUAUCAAACCUGAGUAUUCUCAGCUUGCAACAAGCUUGAUUCUCAACAGCGGAUUUAAACUUCCAAAAGACCUUAGCAACUUCAGACUUGGCCUUUAAAAAAUACACCCAACAAUAUCUAGUGUAAUUGUAACACCCCUUACCCGAGUCUGAUGCCGGGACAGGGUACGAGGCAUUACCAGACUUAAACAUAAGCAAUUACACACAACCAGGCCAUAAAGUUUUGUCCAAAUUAAAACCAUUAAUAUAUAUGCAUAUUGUCACUUAUACAGGCCUACGAGGCCCAAAACAUACAUAGGGAGUGGUUCAGGACUAAACCGAGAACUUUGGAAACUUUAGGGAAACUUAAAAAAAAUUCAUCAUGAAACAGGGCCACACGCCCGUGUGGGUAAGCCGUGUGGUCACACACGCCCGUAUGGCUUGGGACACACCGUGCCCCUUACCCGUGGAGCUCUCUGUUUAUGACGUCAUGUACAAAAUAAGGUUACACGGCCAAGGCGUACUUCCGUGUCCUUAGGCCGUGUGGCGUAUUAAAUUCUAAUAAUUAGGUGCAAACUUCACACGGCCAGAGCACACGCCUACGUCUCCAGGACGUGUCCCUCACGGCCAAGACACACGACCGUGUCUCAGCCCGUGUGGCCAAUUCGAAGCUAAAAUACAAGAUGUAGGGGACACAUGGCCGGACUACACACGGCCUAGACAUAUGCCCGUGUGUCUACCUGUGUGGACAACUUUGAGGCUAUUUUCCAAGCCAUUUGCCACCCUUAUUUGCUCAAACACGUUCAUAACUUCAAAGGCAUAUAUCAUAGCAUAUUUGAGUACUUAAACAUUAUUCAACAAGUCAUGAUCAUGACAAUAUCUUGUCAACUUAUACACACUCAAAACAUCAUACUUAGUCAAGCUCAAACUUACUAAUUCUCAUGCAUCAAGAUUUAUAGGUUUACUUCCAUGUUACACAUUUAGGCAUUAGUUGUCAUUAUAUCAUCACACCUCAAUUUAAACCAUCAGGCAUUCAUCACCAACAAUAUAACCCAUCACAUACAUACAAUCACAAGCCACAUCUCCAAGACAUAGGCACAUGCAUAAUCAUAUAAUCAACAUAAGCCAUCAUUCAUGGCUAUAUACAAAUUGGACCAUAACCAUUAUAGGCCAACACAUUUGACCAUAUUAGAAAUGACAUAAUUACAAAAGACAUAGCCCCUAUACAUGUCAUAAAUUCAAGUGCUUGAAUACUUAUACCCUAAAUGGUAGCUUGAUAGUGUGAUAACAUUUCCGACGAUCUCUAACCCGAGCUAGCUAAAUUAACCUAUAAAGAUGGGAAAAGGAAGGGGAGUAAGUUUCAAAGCUUAGUAAGUUCACAUGCAACUAAUAAAUAACUAUUGACACUCAUUUAUCUAUUUCCCCUCCCUAAGGAUAUUAUUACUGCAAUUUGCACUAAAUCUCAUGAUUACCACUUGUUUAUUCAUAAUGCUUACUCUUUUAUUUUACAAAUACUAAUUGCACGUCUUGGCAUUGGAUUGGUAAUCAUAACUUCCCCAUUAUAGUCUAUCACAUUAUUUAACAAGUUAUUUAUAUACAUCAUAUUAUGUCACAACCCAAAGUAAGCCUAACACAUGAUCAUUACCAAAUCUUAGUGUACAUCAUCUUAUUAUGAAUGUAGAUCAUUAAUCCCAAGGUUAUCAAUAUCUCACAAGCAAAACAUAUUCAUGUACAUUCUUACCAAAUAUUCAUUAUACAUUGAACUCACUACUCAUGAGUUUUGUCGUACAUACCUGUACCAUCUCGUAACAUAAUCACUUACUCAUCUUGUAACACCCAUUACCCAUACCCAAGACCGAGACAAGGCAUAGGGUAUUACCGUACACGAGCAAGAACUUUUCAGUGAAAACGGAUCAUAAAACUUCUUCCCAAUUUAAAAAUGAUUAAAUCAUAUUCAUAAUGUCCUUAAUAUGGGCCUACGAGGCCCAAAACAUGCAUUAGAUACGAUUCGAAACUAAACUGAGGACUUAAGAAAAGCUUAGAAAAUUUUAUGCCUUAAGGCUUCACACGUCCAUGUGGGCAUAGGGCACACGCCUGUAUGACUUGGGACACGCCCGUGUCCCUCACCCGUGGAGUUCUCUGUCCGAUUAUGCAUGAACAAAUGAAAUCACACAGCCAAGGCACACGCCCUUGUGCUUACCCGUGUGGUCGAUUUAUUUUUCAUAAUUUUUCAUAAAUCAAGUGCAGACUUCACAUGGCCUAGGCACACGCCCGUGUCCCUCGCAUAGCCAUGACACACCCGUGUCUCAGCCCGUGCUCAAAAACCUUGAUAUUCUGUUUCUGACGUCAUCAACCAAUUUGGAAGCACACGACCAAGGCACACGCCCGUGUGCUAGGCUGUGUCCUCCAUACGGUUGAGAUACACGGUCGUGUCUCUACCAGUGUGUUUACUACCAUCCAUACUUACUAGAAAUUUCAUGGUGUAGGGGACACACGACCAAAUAACACGCCCGUGGGGCUGUCCAUGUGUCACAUACGGCCUAGGCACACGCCCAUGUGGCUGGCCGUGUAGACAAAAAUAGGCUAUCUACCAAGCCUAUUUGUCACCCUUGCAUUUAACAACAUACAUAACAUUCAACUAUACCAAUAUCCCAAGCAAUAGGAGACCAAUCAACCACACAUAUAAUUAAAUGGCAACCCAACCAAGUGUUUAUACAAAUUAUUCAACCAAGAGUACAUCAUCUUUCAAUUCAUAACUCAAAAUGAAUAUUAGCAAUCAACCAUGGCCUUAUACAAAAUGAAUCAACAUAACAUUCAUGAGCCAUUACUUUGGCUAACCCAAUGACACAUAUAAAGCAAAAUAACCAAAAGUCCUAUACAUGCCAUUAUGACAAAAUAAGAGUUUUUAUAUACCCAAAAUGGAAUUAGGUUGAUAGUGUGAUCAAUACUCCAACCGACUUCCAAUCCUCAAGAGUCCACGAGUUCUGUAAAACAGGGAAAAAUGAAAGGGGGUAAGCGUUAAUGUGCUUAGUAAGUCCGGAUAACGGGAAGGUAAACUUACCGGUUAUUUAGCAUACAACCAUAUUUAACAUUCAAUCCAAACAAGUAUAGGAUCGUUUCCAUGCCACAUACACUCAACCAUCAAGUUAGUCUCAUGUCAAUAUAUGACAAUAACAUGUCUAUAUGAAUUCAUCAUUUCAAUAUUCCUAUUUCAUAUCUCAUAUUAGUCCCGUUGAAGUUCUCGGUAUCCCGAUGGAUAUCCCAUUUUCUGUCAAUUCUUACAAGUGAUCAUUUUAAGUACGGACUCCCACGAACUUCGUAUAUUACGGUGGGAUUACCAGUCCAGGCUAAAUCCCCUGCAACGACAUAAACUCUAGUGAGCUUGGAUCUGAAUUACCAGUCCAGGCUAAAUUCAGAUCCUAAUUGGAUUACCCGUCCGGGCUAAAUCCAUUAUGCACACAUAUUCUUCGGAAGGCUAGAUCCUUUUUACCAUCAAUUCAGUUUCGAGAAAAUCCAUCAGGUAACCCUUUUCAUUCAAUUGGGACAUUUUAUACGCAUUUUAUCCAUUUCAUCAAUUUUCAUGAAUUAUCAUGCAAUGAACAUCUAAAAUUUUCAUGCAAUCAAGAAUACAGAUUUUAAAUAUAUUAAAAGUAUUCUUUGAGUUACUCGAACUUACCUGGUAAUGGUCUCGAAUUCAAGUUUUGAUUAUUCCGAAACUUUUCGCUUUCCAUGAUCGACCUCAGGAAUUGGUCUUUCGGGGUCUAAAAUAGAAAAAUAAAUUUAUUAAUACAUCAUUUUAUCCCUUUUUGGCCUAAAACCCAUCCUAGGGCAAAAUGACCAAUUCGCCCUUAAAUCUGAGAUAGAUUGAAAACAGCCUUCGAUAGAUAGAAAUCAUACGCAGAGUUAAAUGUUAGGAAAUUGAGUUUGCUGUUGGUGACAAGGUGUUUUUAAAAGUAUCAUCAUGGAAGAAAAUUUUGAGAUUUGGCCGAAAAGGGAAGCUGUGUCCUCGUUUUUUUAGACCGUAUGAGAUCACUGAAAGAGUGGGACCAGUCGCUUAUCGUUUGACAUUACUUGCAAAAUUACAGAAAAUACAUGAUGUUUUCUAAGUUUCAAUGCUUAGAAGGUAUUGAUCGAAUCCAUCUCACAUUAUUUCAACGGAAGAAAUUGAAAUUCAACCUAACUUGUCUUAUGAAGAAGAACUAGUUUAAAUUUGGGCUUGCGAGAUGAAAGAGUUGCGUAAUAAGCAUGUUCUGUUUUUGAAAGUUCUAUAGUGUAGUCAUAGCAUCGAGGAAGCAACUUAGGAGCCAAAAAAGACGAUUUCGGGGACGAAAUUUAGUUAGGAGGAGAAUCGUAACAACCCAAUAGUCAGAGGUGUCAGAAAGUGAGGUUUGGGACUCCUUUUUUGUAAGACGAACUCUUAGAUAUAUUUAUUGAAUAUAUACGAGGUUAGUUUAUUAGUAAAUUAAAUUUUGGAUAAGUAAUUGCAGGAAAUUAGUAGUUAUUAAGGUAUAGGGACUAAAUCGUGAAAGGGUCAAAAGUUUAAUUAUAGCUUAAAAAUAAAUAAAUGGGUACUAAAGUAGUAAUUAUACCAUUAAUUAAAGGUUGGAUGGUGGUCGGCCAUAUAUUAAUAAAUAUGCAUAUGUAUAUUAUAUUUAUAUAUGUUAUAUAUAUUAAGAUGAUGAUGAUGAUGAUGAUAAUGAUGAUGAUGAUGAUGAUGAUGAUGAUAAUAAUAAUAAUAAUAAUGGUAGUAAACUAAAAUCACUUCUUUUAUUUCACAUGCAAACAAAUUAAAAAGAAAAGAAAGAAAUAGGGGAAGAAGCUUGGACGACACCUUAGGGGUUUUUAAGUUUUACAACUUCAAUUGGUUAGACUAUUUAGUCCAUUUAGUCCAUUUUCUUGUAAUUUUUAUAGUUUUGGAAUCCUGGUACUUAGAGCUACCCGACCCAUGUUAAGAUUUUUAGUAUUUUUCAAUAUUUUAGAUGUUGCCAUUGUUGAAUAGUUUAAGUAUUAGGGAUUAAAUAGAUAGAUUUUUAAGUUAGAAGUGGAAAAGGACUAAAUUGUGGAAUUAAUUGUUGAUUUUGAACAAUAGGGACUAAAUUGAGAAAAAAAAUUAAAAAUUAGGGGUGGAAUUGAAAAAUAAGGAGCUAAAUUUAGCUUAGAGUGGAAUUAGUAUAAAAUUUGAUGUUAAAUGUGGAGGCUAAAAUUAGUCUUGGUUUAGGGACUAAAUUGAAGUUUAGGCAAAUAUAGUGUAAAAAUUAAAAAUUUAAUGUGAAAUUUAAUUGUGUAAUAUUAAUGUAUUUUAAUUGUUUUAAUCCGUAGCUAAUGUCGUACCGAAAUCCUCAAAUAAAAAGGGGAAGGAUAAAAUUGACGUCGAAUAGUUCGGAAUUCACAGUUUGUGUUUCUAUAAUCCGAACUGUUAUAAAUUGUUACAUUUUGAGCUAUUAUGCAUGGUAAGACAUGAGGUAAGCAGUUUGUUAAAAUUGGGAUGAAACAAAUUGAAUUGAAUUGAUGAAUGUUUAUAAUGAUUUAAAUAUGUGCAUUGAGAAAUGUACGUAUCUGUAUAUAUAUGUUGAAUUGAAUAUAUAUUUUGAGAAUUGUAAUUGUUAAUGAAUUGAAUCACAUGCCUAUUGUAGCAGCCCAAAUUUGACCAGGCUGAAAACAAGAUAAAAGAAUUAAAUAAAUAAAUAUUUAUUUAUUUAAAAAGCCCAUUACAGUCCAGUUUACAAAAACCCAGUACCCGGUUAUAACCCAAUUAGACUAAACCUUUGGCCCAAAAUCUAUUAACCCGUUACACCCAAACCCAAACAAGACCUAACCUAAACGAGGCCCAAUGCCUAAACAGAAUCUGGAAACCCUAGGGUUUCCAGAAGCUUCGCGCCGUAAGCACCCCAUCAGUCACGCCUCUUCAACCUCGGUCGUUCCAUCUACCCUCAUCGACGCCAUGAUUCCAGGCCUCAAAUCUGGCCGUAGUUGAAGCCGAAUGAAUGCAGAUCAGCGCCAGCACCGUCGUCAUCAGGGCCUAAUCAUCCUGGCCCACUGAUUUCCUCGCUAGACACCUGCAAAAAAGGAAGAGAGAACCAACAACAACCAAGAAACUAAUUUGGAAAGAAAUCAAAUGAUUUCCUUUCCUAAAAUGUAGCAAAGGGUUAUAAAAACCCCUCUUUUUUCUAAUCUGUAACACACAUUUUUGAGAAAAAACACACAUAUAUAAUAAAACAUAGUGGUUUAUCGAAGAACAGAGGUAAUAUUGCUUUUAUUUUUUUUAAAUAACAUGCGAACAUCAUUCAAAUAGAUCAGGAUAGAUUUUACCGUUAAAAUCUCUUCGUGAUGUUGACACGUUUCGAACUCUGACCGCCGUACAUGGCGGUGUUGACGACUGCGCGUGGGCGCGUGGGCGCGUGGGCGCCCGAUGAUCGGAGCAUGGCCGGACAGAGGCCAGAGCCCGGAGGGCCUCUCAUCUCUCCUCUUUCAGAGGAUUUUAAAGUUUUUUUUUUAAAACGGUCUCUAAAAUGAUUUUUUGAAACAAAAAUUGAUUUAUAUAAGGCAAUAGAUACGGUGUCGUUUUGCUUAAGUCCAAUAAACACUGAAACGGCACCGUUUAGGCCAGGAUCCGCGCGUUGACCCGUCACCCGGGGAGGAUCUCGUGUUUUUGUAAAAUGGGAUAAUUUCCCAAUCAGUCCUUCUGCAUUUUUAAUUUUUAUAAUUUCAUUUUGUUUUCUUUUUAAUUCGACCAUAAUUUUUUAUAAUUGUUUCGAUUUAGUCCUGAUGGCUAUUAAACUCAUUCUGAGGAACGACGUCGUUUUGGGAUAAGGGUUAAUUUCCCGAUGAGUCCCUCGAUUCUAAUGCGUUUUUUCAAAUAGGCCUAAUUUUUUUUAUAUUUUUUUAAAUUAGCCCAAAAUUUUAACUGCUUUUAAUUUUAGUCCCAUUAUACUUAUAAACUUAUUUAUUUUAAGCUUUAUUAUUUAUUUGAUGUGUAUUAUUAUUUUAUAUUGUAUAUUAUUAUUAAACAUACUGGAAAUCCAUUUAUUUUAUUAAAUUAUAUAUUAUGGCAUACAUAUUAUUUAUAUUUUAUUAAUAAAUUUUUUUUAUAUAUGUAUUAUAAAUAUAAUAAAAUUAUUUUAUUAUGUAUUAUUAUAUUAUUUUAUAUGGUAUAUAUAUUAUUUAUAUUUUAUUAAUUCAGUAUUUUUAAAAAAAAUGAUAAUUAUAUAUAAAUAAUCAAAUUUUUUUAUGUUAUUAUAUUAUUAUAUGUUUCCUAUAAAUUUUAUAUACAUUAUAUUAUUCUAUUUUAUAUUUUAUCGUACAUUUAUAUUCUAAUACAUAUCAUCAUAUAUAGUUUUAAAAUUUUAUAAAUAAUUAUUAAACAUUAUUUUUAUAUAUUAUUACAUAUUUAAAAGUCAUUUAUUACUACAUUAUUUUAUUAUUUUUAUAUUUUAUGUGUUAUUUUAUUAAUAAGUAUUAUACUAUUUUUAUUAUUUGUUUUCAUAUCAUUUUGUUACUUAUUAUAUUUAUUUCUUAUAAUAUUUUUAAAUUGUAUACUGUAUACAUUUUAUUAUAUAUUUUUAUAUUAUUUAUUAUAUGAUUUAUAUUAUUUAAUUUAUAUUAUAUUUUACCAUAUUUCCUUAUUACCUUUAUUUUAUCAUAAAGUAUACAUUUUUACUUAUUAAUUAUAUACAUGUUUUUAAAGAAUAGCAACAUCUAGUACACUAUUUUUCUUAUAUACUAAGUUAUUAUAUCUAAUAAUAUAAUCUAUAUAUGUAUAUAUUCUUUUAAAAAGGUUCUCUUUUAUUGUUCUUACAUCAUUUAAUAUAUUUCUAAAUAGCUUACUUUUAUAUUUCAUACAUUUAAUUUGCUUAUUUAUUUUUAAAUUCUCUUUUAUUUUGAUAUAGUUUAAUAGGUUAAAUUUUACAUAUCAUUUUAUUCUUGUAUCUAUAUAUUCGCGUAAAAUUAGUUAUUUAUGAUUAUUUAGGUAUAUAUAUUUGCAUAAAAUGUUGUUAUAUAUAUGUUAUACUAUUAAAAUUAUUAUGCUCUAUGUUGUAUUGUACAUGUAAUACUAAUGUAUCAAUAUUUAUGCCAUUAUUUUAAGACAUUAUACUAUAUUUGCAUGAAAUGAUAAAGCAUGUACAUUGUAAUUAGAUUUAUUUAACUCUUUGUAAUAUGCAAAACACAUCAUUAUUUUUAAAACUAAAGUUAUAUCUCACUUAAUUCAAAAAAUGAAUUUUAAAAGUGAGGCAAUGUUUUGAUAUUUUAGAGAUCCGGGAAAUAGUGCCCUAACAUGCUGGGUUACGAUUUAUUGUUUGUCUAAAUAUCUAAAAUAUCCUUUUAAACAAAUUUUAUAAAUCACGAGAUGAUUUCAGUUAUGAGUGUUUAAGAACAUCGUGUCCUAUCAUGUUGGAUGUGGUGUUUGUAUUCUUUUGGAGCUAAGGAAUCUCGAUUUUUCGACUUAAAUAAUUUCGGUUUUUAAAAAAGGAAUCUUAUUUUUAAAUCCUUUCAAAUUUUUGACAUUAAGACAGAAAUCUAAUCAAUUUGGUACCAAUUUUGGGCGUUGCGAGGGUGCUAAUCCUUACUCGUACGUAACCGACUCCCGAACCUGUUUUCUUAACUUUCGUAGACCAAAACGUUUUAUAAGGUGAUCCAAUCACACCUAAAAAGGUUGGUGGCGACUCCCAUUUUUGUUUUUCAAAAGUCGAUCCCCGUUUUUCAAACAUCCCUUUAAAAAAUGGUUUCGACAGCUUGGCGACUCCACUGGGGACUUAAGAGAGUCAAGCCAAGAAAUUGAGUAUUUUUGUCUUAAUGUCAGAAGUUUGGAACACUUAAAUCUUUUUACAUGUGUUUGAUGCAUAUGUUUGUUACUUUAUUGCUAUACAUUGCAUUUGCACGACCGUUGUGGUCAUACCCUUAAGUGGGAGUGAGAAGCUACGCUUUCGUAAGGUUUUCACCUUCGUAUGAGCUAGUGGAUUGUUUCCGGGAUACUCUACCUAUGUCUUCGUGAGAUUUUCAUCUCCGCAUGGCCAUAGGGAAAAGUGUCCCCCUGAACUGAACUUGGUCUAUAUGAACUUAUAGUGGGUGAGGACCGAAGAAUCUGCUGGUUCAGGUACCUUGCUUUAGAACUAAAACUCAUGUAGUGAACUUUUAAGUACUUAUCCUAGGAAUAAUAGUGAUAACCUUUAGAAAAUUACCCUUAUAAAUAUUUGUUUAUCUUUUUAUAUAUUGAUACUGACUUAUUGUUUUUUUUUAUUUUGCUGUCAUUGCAUGUCAUUUCGUAUUUAAAAGUGUCGAUUCACGGCUCGAUUUCUAAAUUAGAAAGUUCUGUAAUGAGGAAUGAAUAACUUAAUAAAGUGGAGGACAAUGCUUCUGUCUGUACCUGGUCAGAGAAAGCCCAGUUAGAGAAGGGAGAUAGUGUCACUAAGGGGUAUACGUUAGAGUUACGGGACUUCACUAGUGUUAAUUCGACGCAGAAUGAGUUGCAGGAGCUGAAAAACAUUUGGGCCCAGUGGGAUGAUGAUGCUAAGCAGCUUUUCUAUCAGAGUUAUGGAGAUCUUCCAUAUUUGCUACACGUCAAGGUAGAUAGACACUUGUUUCGAGCUAUGGUACAGUUCUGGAACCCUGCUUAUAGUUGUUUUACAUUUGGUGAUGUUGAUCUUGUACCUACUUUAGAGGAGUAUACGACUUUACUGCGUUGUUCAAUAAUUCAUGGUUACAAGGCUUAUGUUAGGCCUGCUAGCCUUCCAACUUUUGCGAAGAAAUUGAUGAUGAUUACUGGGAUGAGUGAGCAGUGGGCUGUAGCUCGUGUGCAGCAAAAGGGUGAUAGUAAGUGUAUUCCAUAUGCCGUUUUGAGGGAUUUGAUAUUGACGCAUCCAAAUGUGAAGAAAAAGGUCGACGUCCUGGCUUUGAGCAUUUACGGCACGGUGAUCUUCCCGAAGGCAUUGGGGCACAUAGAUGAGUCGGUCGCAGAUUUGUUUGAUCGACUUAGUAAACAGAACACGCAUGUGCCUGCGAUCCUAGCUGAGACGAUAAGAUCCUUGUGACAAACUUUCGAAUGUUUUACCAUUUGAUAUGGUGGAAAGACUUGAAAAACUAGAAACUCUGCAAAUAUUGGAAUGCGAAUCGGUAGAAGAAAUAAUUGGACUUGUUGACGAUCAUGGACUCAACUCAAAUGAAUCGAUUAAGCUCAAAAGGGUUUCUACUCCAAGGUGCAUACUACAGAUUAGCUAUUGUUAAAAUUAUUGGAGGUGAGUGAAUGCAGCAAGGUGGAGACAUUUGCUGGGGAGUAUAUCAACUUUAGAGAAACACAAGGAGAGAACCAAACCAUUAUCUCUGUUCCACAACCCCUAUUUUGGGUUACUAAGGUAAGAUCUCAUAAAAGAAACUAAAUAAAAGGUCAAUCUAAACAGAGUUGCAUAUUUUAUCAUUCUCUUUAGAAGAUUUGCUUUUAUUUAACAUAUAUAUGUUUUUUAAUUUCUCAGGAAACAUUCCCCAAUUUAGAAGAAUUGGUUUUGGAUGGGAAUGGCAAUAUGAAAGUAUGGCAUGGACAUGGAGCAGACCCCAAGCAAUAUUGUCCCAAACUAAGAGAGUUAUAUUGUCCCGAAACAUGAGUUACUAUCUCAGAUUGUUUCAUUUAGUCAUUACAAAAUCUUGAAUACCUUUCUUUUGGCAAACGGCAACCUUCAAUGAAUUAUUUCCAUGUAAAGGUGUAAGAGACGAAAACGAAAAUGCAGGAACGCUUGCUUUCUUGAAGGAAUUAAGUUUGUAUUAUCUUCUUGAGUUAACACAUCUCUAGAAAAACAAACUAUCACUUGCAGAAGUUUUCUACAAGUGUUGGGAUGCGGAAAAUUAAAGAAUUUAGUGCCAUCUUUUGUGUCAUUCAAACAUUUGACAACUCUAGAGGUAUCAAAAUGCCAUGGAUUCAGAAAUUUAGUAACAUUCACAAUAGCUAAAAGCAUGGUACAAUAAAAGCAAAUUGGUUCAAUUUUUACACGAUAAUUUAAAUUCUAAAAAUAGAGUUUAAAAUCCUUAAAAAUGAUCUUGUGAAUAAAUAUUUAAUCCUAAUGAAAUUCCAUCCAACUUUCAUCUUGUGCAUUUAAUCAUAGUCGAUGAAUAGUUGAUGUAAGAGGAUUGCACUAUUCAUUCUAUUCAACAUAAAUGAGAGCAUUUAUUCUUGAGAUGUUCAUUCAUUUGAAUCAUUCUCAGCAUCAAGAGCUUUUGGAUUCUCAUGAUUAGAGAAAUUUGUUGGUAAUGCAAAGAAAUUGAAAAAAAAAAUAUUUUUAAAUGGUUACGAUUUGAUAAAAUCAAAAUCUAGCUUCUAAAUGGUUACGAUUUAAUAGAAUCAGAAUCUGACUGUUGAGACUUUUUAAGAAAUUGACUCUGCAAAUUUACCAUUUUGCGUCUUCAAAAAACAAUAUAAAUAGGAGGUCAUUUUCUUCGUUUUUCAUAGAACACAGCAAGAGAAAAACAACUUCUCUCAAUUUUCUAUUAUCUAAAUUCUAUUUUGCGAAAUUACACGAGAGGGAAAUUCUGUCUAGGAGAUUGGGUUUUAAGCGGGACCGUCUGUGACCCCUCCAAUCUUUCUUAAGAAUUGAACCUAGUGUGAUUUCAUUGAUUUUCUUCCAGUUUAUUUUUCGAUCAGAUUCGACCAAUUGCUUUUGUUUUUUCGAUUUCGAUUCCUUUCGAUAAGCGCAAUACUAAUUGUGUUUCACCUUCUUUAUUCAGGUGUACGAAUAUUAAAAUACUGUGUUAACCUUGGGGGGCGACGUCCACUACACAAUUACACCGAUCAAGGUGAAUUCGCUUCUAAGGCAAUGGUUCUUCCACGACACAAUGAUUGUUUUAUUUAUUUAGACUUAGUAUGGUUUCCUAUCAACACUAACAAUUUUGUUUUACAGUAGUAUAUUUCCAACAAUUAGAAGUAAAUUAUACUACUGUUUAAACAUGAGAAUCAUUUCCAUUUCCCGCUAUUGGAACCAAUGAAGGCUCCUACAGGCAACGAGGUAGAGUACACUUGAGGAUAGUUAGAGCAAGUGAAGUGUCCUAUUAAGGCAAUCGGUUUGAGGGCACCUGAGUAGUGCAAGACUGUGCCUAAGUAAUGUUGGAGCAGUUGCAAGCUCUAUUUGUGUUGGCUAAUGGGUCAUUACGAUCAAGAUGGGUUUGGAAGGCCUAGCAAGAUUGAGUGGGUCUGAGGACCCUUGAGUUUGAGAUGGGUUAGAGGUCUCUUGAGUUUGAGUUAGUUGGAGGACCUUUGAAUUUGAGUUGGUCGGAGGACUAUGAGCGGAUCGCUUGAUCAUUGUAUUUGGGAUAGGGCUUACAAUCAGGGGCGAAGCUAGAACAAAUUUUUACGGGGUCGGAUAAAAUUUUAAUUUUUUAUAGUUUAUAUCUUUAUAAUUUGUAAAGGAUUAAAUUAAAUUUUUAUAAUUUUAGGAGGGCCAAAAUGCAAUUUUACCUUUACUAAUUUAAAUUUUUUAAAAAAUUUUAAUAGCCCAAAGAGUAAAUUUACAUUUUAGGGGGGUCGGGGCCCAUGCUAGCCCCCUGGCUUCGCCCCUGCUUACAAUGCCCUUAUCCAUGAUAAGCUACUAAUACAUGAGAUUUGUGGAGCUAGUCCAAGCGUCACCGAGUUUUUAACCAAAGUAGACUGGAGGAUUAUCGAGUCCAAGAGCUUGAAAAAGAGAACUAGUGGGGGAUGUCUUAUUUAGGCAACUUAUGAGAUUGUGCGGAGAAAGGAGUGACGUGCCAGAGUUUGUGUGAAUGAGCAUUAAAGUCUGAAAUUGAGAUUGAGAUCAACCUAGUUCGGUGGUGCUGCAUGUGUUGCGGUUGGCCAAGAUGGUCACACCAAUUGGGUGACCAUGGAGGCGCUGAGAGGGCCUAAGUUGAGGAUGGCCAAUGUGUCAAAAUUUCCCAUGUUAAGAACUUUUGUGUUGGUGUCGCACAUAAACCACAACCAGAGGGAUGUGUUUUUUAGUAUCAAAGACAUGGUAAUAUUCAAUUGACAAAGGGUCAUACCAUUAAGGGUUCCUCAAGGUUGUAACCUAAUGAUUAUGUGUUGUGACAUUGAGUUCGAGUGUUUGGUAGAGGAAUGGGCAUAAACAAGACUAUACCAACGAUUGAGAAUAGACCAAGUUCGAGUCUAUGCUUGAUGCGCGUUGAAUGAAUCAUAACCAUAGACCUUGAAGGCCCAAGAUGGACUUGAGACUGAAAUGUCAACUCAAUGCAACAAUGUUACUAAAAGUGUGGUUUCAUGUUGAUGAGGACAUUGACAUAGUAAGUGGGGGAGUGUGGUCGGCAAUUUACUAUGCUAGUUAUCAAGGUUGAGCUUUCCCAAAACGAUCUUGAGUGAAAUUAAAGUACAAUAACUUGGAAGUUGGAAAUUGUCGAAUACCCUAUAGUCUUGAGAGAUGUUGUGAUGCAAACUGGGUAACUGAUAAAAUUAGCUUUACAAGUGGGUAUGUCAUUACUUUGGAUGGAGCAGCUAUUUUUUGGAAGUCUACUAAACAGACGUGUAUUGCUCGUUCCACAAUAGAAUCAGAGUUUAUAACUCUUGACUAAGCCGAGAAAGAGGCCGAGUGGCUUAGGAAUCUACUUGCAGAGAUUUCUUCAUGGGAGAAUAGAGUACUUGCUUUAGAGUACAUGAGGUCUAAAAGGUGUUCCACCUUCUUUAUUUGGGUGUAUGAAUAUUAAAGUAUUAUGUUAACCUUGGGGGCCGACGUCCACUACACAUGAUUACACCGACCAGGGUGAAUUUACUUCUAAGACAGUGAUUUUAUUAUUUUAAAUAUAUUUGGACGUUUUCUUCGGAGAAAUUCAAUAAUUAUAAUGAAAUUUUAAAUAUAUUUUAAUAAGAUAAAAUUAAUUGGUCAAUCAAUCUUAAAAAAAAUAAUUAGUCAAUCACUUAUAUCUUUAAAUAUAUUCUAAUGAAAUAAUAGAAAGAUAUUUUAAUCAAUCACUACUAUUCAUUUUGGAGUUACAUAGAUAUAAAUAUAUUGAUGAAUUUUUUCCCAAUUUUCUCAACUUUCCUUGGUAUUCAUCAUUUAUCUAUUUAUUUUAUUUAGUUAUUAAAUCAUUCAUGGUUAUAAUUUAAUUUUUAAAACUUUAAUCUAAUGGCUCAUAUUUUUCUCAUUAAAAUAUCUUUCUUUUUUAAUUAUAAAAUUCAAAAUAUUCUUUAAUAGAGAAAUGAUAAAAGUACCAUUUAAAAUGUAAUAAUUACUUAUGGAUAUAUUAUUUCUUCAUGGUUUAGUAUCUUACCAUACCAAUACAAGUACUAAACUUAAUAUUAACAAAUUUUGUAUAAUUAUCAUUACACUUAAUUAUGAAGAAAUCUUAAUUUUUAUAUAAAAAAAUAUUAUUCAACAUGUGUUUAAUCAUUGAAUUUGUAACUUCAAUGAUAGGUUGACAAAAUGGCAAAAUGAUAAGUUGACAUUUAGAAACUAAAUUGAAUGGUGAAUAAUGGAGUAACUUACAUGAAAGGAUCAUGAGACAAACAAUUAAUGGUAGGAGUAUGUUACAAAUGCUUUUAAUGGCUAAAUUAUGCACUUGAUUUAUUUAUACAUUGUUUUUAAAUUAUGUUAUCAUCAUUAAACUCUUUUGCUUAUCAUACAUAUUUAUUUGUUUCUGUGCGUAUAUUUGAGAAAAUCAACAGCAUCCAUGUUUCAAUUUUCAGCACAACAAAUAUGGUAUAAUCCUUUUGAUGCUAUAGUAAAGGUGGCAUGUACCUAAUGCCAAAACUUGUUUUUGGAGUUAAUUAUGGUACCUUGGUAUCUUCUAUGCUUGAAUUUUGUAAUGUAAGCAUGUUCUAUAGGCAUAUAAGCAUUUGAUGAUAUGAUUAAGUGAUUAUGUUGAUAUGCAUGAUCUCAAGUUAAUGAUUUUGCUAUGUUUCAUUGGUUGCAUUCAUUCCUUGUAGGUGAAAUUGAUAUCUGAAAUUGGAAAUAUUGUGACCAUGAUAAUAACCAUGUGUCUGAAUAUGUUUAAAUAGAAAAAUAUGAGGUUUAAACAAGAAUUUGGUGUUCAACAAUACUCAUAGUUGAAAUGGUACUGUUUUGAGCCAAAUUAGAUAUGUUUUGAGGUCAGUUUUUGGUCCUAACAAACUUGUACCGGUACAAGUAGCUAGAUGGAUCGGAAUAAAUAAGUUAAUAGCUAAAAAUGAACAAUUGCAGGGACUUCUAAGUCCAAACUUCUAUGGAUACAAGUGUGGGAGAACAAGGUCCCUCCCAUGUUUUGACUUGUUUUGACCCUCGAAGACUCGAACUUGGUCCUUAUCAUCUCCAAAUACCUAGAACUCAAUUAAAAAUGUUUCUAAUAUAUUUAAAAUGACUUGAACUUGUUUUUAAUUAAUAUGAAUGGUUUGUAUAAUGUGAUGAAUCCUUGAUGCUUAUGUUGUUUUUUAAAGAGAAGCUAGUUCAAGUUACUUUGGCAACAAAUGUGAUGUCAUACAUUCGGACCUGACGAUCACGUCAAAUGUGGAGUGUCACAUAUACACUUUAGUUUUUAACAUAAUUUGGUUCCUUUAUGCUAUCAUGUUAUUAGUCUAAAUAGUUAAUAUUGUUAACUAUGUCAAUCAAAACAUUGAUGUCAAUUUAUGUUAAAAACACUAUUCAAGCAGAAAAAAAUUAUCAUGACAAAUUCAAACGUAUGUUUUUAAGAUAAAUCCAAGUGAAUUUUUUUAUACGAUGUAUUAGGUAUAUUAGGUAUAGGAGAAGCUGAAAACAAAAUAAGGUUUAAACUUCAAAAGAUAUUUAUACGAUCCUUAAUAUAAAUGUUAUACUUCUACUACUCAAAAUUUCCUAAAUCACCACAAUGUGGAUGAAAAAAAUAUUAUAUGUUAAAAAUAUUUCUAAAAAAUAUUAUUUAAUAAUAAAUAUAAAUAGAGUGACAUCCAUUAAGAGGGUGACGUAGCAUAUUAAUUUAAAGGGUUAAUAACCAAUUUAGUCCCUAAACUAUAACUAAAAUAUCAAUUUUAAAAUUUUAAAAUUCUUCUUAAUAAUAAUUUUAAAAAAUUUAAAGGGUAAACUACUUGGAUAGUCAUCCAAGUUUUAGUGCGUUCCUAUUUUGGUCAGCGAAUAUUUUUUUGUUAAUUUAGUCACAUCGUUAGAUUAAUUGUCAUGUUUAGUCACUCCACCAUUAAAAUGCCUCGGCCACUAAACAAAAUGUUGAUAUGACAAUCUUUUGAUUGGUAUAAAAACAAACUUAGCCCUUAACACUUUACACAUUUUAUUUGUUUGUUUGUAAUUCUAAAAAUUCACCAAAUUUAACACUCAAUAUUGCACAUUUUGUCAAUUUAGUCCAAAUUCAAAAAAUAUAUAGUUUUAAAAACUUGAAAAUAUAUAAAAUUUAUUAUAAAAUGACAAAAAAUAUGAAUUACUAAAAAUGUAUAUAACAUAAAGGCUUAAAUAUGAAUUUGGUUGAGGGAUUCAAACAAAUGUUUCUUGAAUUGUAACAAAAAUUUGUAGGGAUUCAACAAAAUUUAACCCUCAAUUUCUCUUGAAUUUUUUGAAUAAAUAUUUAUUUUAAUUCUUUAAACUCCACCGAGCUAAACGAGUCCUUUGAGUUAAUUUUUUUAAUCAAUCACUAUCAAAUUCUACUAGCACAUGAUCAAAUAGUUGUUUGAGGGAUUCAAAUUAGAAAGCCUUUACUUAUAGAAACAUCUUUGGCUCUAUUUUGGCAGUAAAAUACAGGGCUUUAAAGGAUUCAAAUUCUUAAGGCUAAGGAAUGCUUCAUUGAUAAGUUUUCCCUAUUAAAAGAAAAUGCGAAAUAGAGUUUAGGUAUGUCUGUAAAAAAAAAAAAGAAAUUGACUUUGGGUGUGGGUGUGGGUUUAAUGGUGAGUGCUCGACAAUGAAGUGAUGGUGUAGUUUGGGUCUAGUAAAGUUGGGUAUCAAGUUGGUAUGAUAUUUGAGAUUGUGAGGUUUGGGCAGGAGAAUAAGAACAAUAGGAGGCUUGAAGAUGAAUUGGGAAGGAGAUGAGGGGAUGAAUGUUGUUUUACAAAGUUUAUCUCUUUUGUUUGGUUGACUAAAAGAAUCUAGUAACAAGAAAAAAAAUUAAACUUUUUUUACAUGAAAGCGAGUGGGGCAACAAUGUAACUUCCAGCACAAAUCUUUAAUGUGUCGAGGCUUACUACAGUAGUCACAUAUCAAUUGAUCCUUGUCAAACUUACCAUCCGAUGGACUAUCCUGGUUAGCAAUGAGACCAUCUUUCUCAAUAGGUGGAUUAUAGAGCAUAACAACAUAUUAACAAUAUGAAAGGCUGAAGCUGUGUGAGGGUGGGACACACGGUCGUAUGGGCAGACCGUGCAAUAGAUUGAGACCGUGUGGAGUUGGAGUCAUAUGGUCGUGCAAACAAACCGUGUAACCCACUAAGUCCGUGUAGGUCAAAAGUGUAAUUAUUUAAAAGUUGUCGCACAACCAUGUUGUCAGGUUGUGUAACAGGCUGUGGUCGUGUCUUGGAACCGUGUGUGGCAUAUGGCCUGUGGCACCAAAACUAACCUAUAAGUCUCAAAACUCACCUAAACCAAGUUCUAUACAUAAGCAUGUUUUAAAGCAUAACAAUGUUAGGAAAUGUGCCCAUAUUGUAGUAAACAUGUAACUAUUUUCUAUUUAUUUGAAAGAUGAAUAAAUAAAUAAGUUAAUUUCACAUUUCACUAUUAUGUCUUUUGUAUUUUCUGUCUUUUAUAUUUUGCAUGCAUAGAGAAAUUGUGACAAGCAAAUAUUAGCUCAUUGAUUGUCUAAAGUUCAAACUGAAGAUAAGUGGCAUUGUAAAGAACGUUUACAUUGCGAGAAAGACAACUUACUUCAGUAGAUAAUCUAAAUGAGUCCGCAAUCCUGUAAAAGAAUCAAAGUGAGCAUUUGAUUCAAAUAUUGAGAAAGAUUAUUAUUUUCGAAACCAUUUUUAGUUUGAAAAACAGGGAUCGACUUUUAAAAAAGAAAGUUUGGAGUCACCACCAAUCCUUUUUGUUUAGCUGUGAUCGGGUCACCUUGUGAUCGAUCAUUUUAAUAAAGCAUUUUGGUUUAUUAAAACAACGCUUUUGGUCUACGAAAAACUAGAAAACGGAUUCGGGAGUCGGUUACGCGCGAGGAAGGAUUAGCACCCUCGCAACGCCCAAAAUUGGUACCGUAUUAAUCAAUUAACGUCCUAAUGUUGAAAAUUUGGAAAAAGAUUUUAAAACGCAAUUCCUUUAAAAACGUUUAGAUAUCUUGAAUUGGAUAUUGAGAUUCUCUCGCUCAGAAUGAAUAAAAUAUCAUAUCCAGCACGGUAGGAUACAACACUUCGAACCCUCGAUACAAGAUCAUCUCAUGAUUUCCAAAACUCAUGCAUUUGAAAUUUCAAAAGGAUAUUUGGCUAUUUGGUUAAACGGUAAAUUGAAACCCAGCACGAUUGGGCACGAUCUCCCGAAUUUCUCAAACACAAAAUAUUGCCUUUAAUUUAAGAAAACAUGGAUGAAAUUUCAAAAGGAUAUUCAGUUAUUCGGUUGAACGAAAAAUCGAAACCUAGUACGUUAGGGCAUGAUUUCUCGAACUCCCAAACACGAAAUAUUUUCUUAUGUUGAGGGGUUUUUUUUGAAAUGCGAGUGGUUAUAAAAUGAAUGAAAAUAAAAUAAUUAAUGCAUAGAAUAUAAGGUUUAUCAUAUAAAUGAGUUUUUAAAAAAAUAUUAUAAGCUGAAAUUUAAAAUUAAUGCUAUACAAAACAAUUUAAAACCAAAAUAAAUACAAAUAUAAUGUCAAUUAUGUACAUAAAAACAAUGAUGUAUGCCCAUGCCGAAUCUUAAGCAAAUAAUGUACAUGAAGUAAAAAACUU
This 50061-nucleotide long non-coding RNA is filed under the name Gossypium barbadense (sea-island cotton). RNAcentral describes it as "long non-coding RNA (GBAR_LNC010812)". Lineage: Eukaryota; Viridiplantae; Streptophyta; Magnoliopsida; Malvales; Malvaceae. The record is from RNAcentral.